GUGUGGGGAGGUUACAAUCAUGAUAAUUUAAGAAGUGAAGGCAUAGCCAGGCACAGUAGUAUAGCAGACGCGUUGGGGGAGUGGGGGAGUGGGAAUGAGUGGGGGAGAGAGGGGUAGGUGUGGUGUGUGGGAGUGGUGGCAGUGGUGGCAGUGGCGACCAGCGCCUCGACUGCUUUCUACUGCCAGCGGACACUGGCGUGUGAAAGUACGGUAGCAAUCGGCCCCGAGCCGCUCCGCGCAGUGACAACACGGUAUCUUUGCGCCAGCAGCCGCGCAACACCCGACGCCCUUAUUCCCUUGUGCCUCCUAACACACAUGACGCCGACACAUGCACACGACUGCCCAGCAGCCACGCCGCCUACCUCCACAGCGCGGGGUAGUGCUCGCACAGGUCCUUGAUGUCCUCCUCCGGCAGCCGCAGCAUGUCGCAGGGGCUCUUGCAGAACACGUUCUCGCGCCGCUUGAUCUUUGUGCCCACCGCCUCGGUGCCCACGCCCACCUGCGGCGCGUGGCGUGGUGUGGCGUGCACACGGCGACGUGAGCAACAGGCGGCAAGCGCGGCACAUGAGCUAAACAUGCAAUGGCGCAGCUGCGAAGCCACGCAAGAUGAAUGCGCGCCAAGCACCAGCGCCAGAAACCCAACUACAACCACGACCACAAGCCGCUCCAGGCUGCGCCGGAGCCCCUACCAGACCCCGGAGGCGACGCACCACGGCCCCCAGCCUGCACAGCCCCCAGCCCACCGGCCUCAGCAGCGGCCUCUCACCUCGCCCGACGCGUCCGCCGCCACGGCCGCCUGCUGCUCCUGCGCGAGCUGCCUCAGCACGGAGCCCUCCCCGAACACGGUCACCUCGGGCACCACGUACAGCACCGUCCGCUGGUCCGCCGCCAGCACCUGCAGCUCGCCCUGCGCGUGCACAGACGUGUGUGUGUGUGUGUGUGUAGGGGGGGGGUGCGUGUGUGUGUUUGUGCGUGCAGUGUGUGUUGGUUGGUGCGUGCGGUGUGUGUUGGUUGGUGCGUGCAAAGGCACGGCAGGGGCGUGGCAGGGGCACGGCUUGGUCCAGGGCACGGCGAAACUACACAACACCCACAACCACCAUUGACACCACACACACACACACGCCCCCACCUGCAGCAGGAUGAAGACGUCCGCGCCGCUCUCGCCGCGCAUGUACACAAACGUGUCGGCGCUGAAGUGCGUGGGCUGCAGCCGCACACACAGGUCCGUCAGGAAGACGUCGUCCUCUGACAUGGCCUGGGGGGAGGGAGGAGAAGGACAACAGGUUAACAGGGGGAGGAGGAGGAGUGGGUUUAUGUGGACGGCGAGUGUGGGUGCCAUACCGCCAACCUGCCCAAGCCUUCUUGUGUGUCGAGGUUGGCAGAUGUGCCAGCACAGCAGCAAGAAAGGCCGAUGCCGGAUGCAUGACCAGCCGUCACACCCCAGCACGCAAGGCAGUAGGCAAGCCGCACCACGGCAUCAGCACCACCACCGCCACCGGUCCCUGCCCCUUAUGCUCACCUGCAGCAGCGGCACGUUGGCGAUGGUGGGCAGGUAUAGGUGGCGCAGGAUCUUGGCGCGCAGCUCGAAGGGCAGCCGCGCCAGCACCGCCUGGCGGUCGUAGGCGCGGACCUUCUGCUUCUUGAAGUAGGUAAGCACCCUGUGAACGGGUGAUGGGGUGUGUGAUGGGGUGUGUGAUGGGGUGUGUAAUGGGGUGGGGGUGGGGGUGGAUGGGGUCAUGAGUUGAUAGUUGAUGAAUGGCAGACUGAUGGUAGGUUGCCGGCUAGAUGGGGUGCAGGCAUGGGUGCCGGGCAGAAGGGGCCUACGGUGCACCCGCAAAGGCUGGCGGCCGCAGCCCUGGCCAGGUCCGGGCCCUGAUUCCUGCCAGUCGGUAGCUUCGGUUGCGUUACCGGCAGUGCGCGCCUUGCCCCACCACGACGGCGCCCAGACAAGCCUGACGCCCGCCCGCCCGCCCGCCAACACAACGCCCCACGUAGCCGCAGCGGCCCCGGCUCUCACUUGCGCGCCAGCGGCCGGGGCAGCUCCACAUCCUUCAUGAAGGCCGACAGCUCGUGUAGCUGCUCGCCGCGGGCCACCUGCGUGUGCGUGUCAGCGUGUGUGCAUGCGUGUGUGUGUAAAAGAAAGGAAACGAAGCGCGUGUGUGUGCAAGUGUUUGUUUAGAGCCCACAUAGUGCAAGGUGUUGCAGUAUGUCCAACACAUGCAGUGACUGCGGUGCAGCACCCGGUGCCGCGACGCCGCACCUUGUCUGCAUCCAGGCGGCUGACGAUGGACGCCAUGCGACCGAAGCAGAAGGACAGGAAGAAGCCGCCGAUGACCAUGGUGAACAUGCACCAGAUCUGAGCGGGAGUCAUGUGUGUGGGGGGGGGGCAAGGAUGUUUGGAAAAGCGGGUCAGGGGGGGAAGGUGGGUUUGUGGGGAGGAGGACGGCAAUGUGUACUGGGACGAGAGCAGCGGAUGAUAUGCCCGGGGGGAGGGGGGGCUGCAUGGUAUGCCCCUGUCAUGCUCUCCUGCUGCGGGGCAAAGUGCUCAUCCACCGCCCGUCCGCCCGCCGCGCAUGCCCCACCGCCACCGCUCCGUGGGCCGCCCACCUUCUCCGCGAUGGUGGUGCCGUAGAUGUCUCCGUACCCCACGGUGGUCAUGGUGGUGUAGGCCCAGUACAUGGAGGUGAUGUAGCUGCAGGGGAGUUGGGCGGCGGCGUGGCGGCGUGGGGCAGUUGGUAGUUGGCAAGGAGCUGACGACAGGGAUUUGGCAGAAAGAAGACGAAAUUGACUGUUCGGAGAGAGCCGGAGACAUUUCAAGACGCCGGGCCCCGUUGCAUGAUUUGAACCGUGAUGGGUGAAGGGACUGCCGCCACCGUGCCCACGCCUUCCUGGUCUUCAAGUGCCAACCCCCACCGCCUCCCGCACUGCAGCUGCGCCCCCCGCCCCGCUCCUACCGGUAUGGGAAGCUGAAGUCUGUCUUGCAGCGCAGCUGCGGCAGCUGGUCGCACUUGGGGCAGGCCACCAUGAAGUAGAAGUCGGGGCACAUGUACCAGUAGCCCGUGGCGGGGUCCUGAAUGGGGCGGGGGCACGUGGCAAGGGGAUGUCGGUCAGGCCAAUGAGCACCGCGCAAUUCUGCGCAUGGUGUACACAUUGCCGGUGGCAGGACCCACGCAACGACUGCGACUGCCGACGGGCCGCUGGGUGAAGCCCCACGACGCUGACGCCCCCGCACGGAAGUCAUGGCAGCACACGCCACACACACACACACACACACACACACACACACACACACACACACACACACACACACACACACACACACACACACACACACACACACACACAAACACACACACACACACCGCAGCCCCACAGCCCCAACGCCACGCAGCCCCAGCGGGUCGUGUGUGUGCGCCCUCACACCUGCGCGAUGAGGUCCGAGGGCGUGGGCUUCGUGCCGUCGGGCGCCAGGUCUAUGCGAUUGGGCAUGACCACCUGGUAGUAGCCGCCCAUCUUGUCCAUCACCCACGUGGUCAGCUCGCCCUCAUUGAUCAGCCGCCGUUCCUCUGCGCGCGUGUGGCCGGCGCGGUGUGGCGGCAAGCAGGGUUACAGGAGGGUUGGGUCCGAUCCCCGAAGCCCAAACUCCGCAGCAGGUGUACGGUGUACGGUGUACAAGGCGCGUGCGGUGCGCGCGGCAGCACGCACACGUCAGCGUUCAUCUCCCGUCCCGACAACAUCGCACCCUAUUGACCGCCGGGCCGAGCUCCGGCACGGAUCCGCCCCGCGGGCGCCCCGCUGGCGCACACGCACCGUUGGUGUACCACCGCGGUCCGCUGAAGAGGUAGAAGAAGCAGCCGGACAGGUGGCCCAGGUACACAAGCACGAUCAACAGCUCCAGCAGAGACACCACCCAGCGUGCCGCGUAGAACUCGUCCUGCGGGGGCAGGCGGGGAAGACGGGUGGGGUAAGUGGUGGGGUGGGCGUUCGGUGGCCAUUGGCAUAGAGGAAGCCAAGGCAGGCGGCGGUGUGCGCCUGUGUGUGUGCGGCACAAGGCAAAGCGAGCGCCGUAGCCGCGGCCCCGCGCAGACGCGCCUAUCGCAUUCGAAGCGCCUGUCGCAGAGCUCCUCACCUGGAUCUUGCCCAGCACGGUGCUGAUGGACAGCACGUUGAAGUUCUUGAAGAUCCACAGGAUGCGGAAGAUGCGCAGCAGGCGCAGCAUGACGAUGAGGCUGGCGGCGGAGUCGUUGGUGAUGAUCAGGUCGCAGUUGCCGCUGAUGCUGCAGCCCCACGUGCCCUGUGAAGAGGGAGUGCAUGGGGGCAGUGGGAUGGGGGGCACGGGAAGUGGCGGGUUCAGGGUGGCGGGUUUCGGCACGGGAGGGGACGGCAGGGGCGCAGGGUACCUUCCCGAGCCACACACCUCAAGAGCUAGCAUGCGCGCAAGCCAACCCGCCAGCCUAGCCACCUUGACCUUGACUCUUAAGCAACAUGUCAUGUCUCGCCUUUGCCAUCGCAUUAGGACAUCUCAACCCGACCUGCCAUCCAACCCACAGCAACCCCGCCCCCUGGUCUGGGCCCCACCGUGUCUUUCCAGAAACCUCCCCUGCCGCUGCGCCCGCACCUCGAUGCCGCGAAUGACGUAGUCGCUUGGGAAGGUGGCGAGCAGGUCCACCACGAACCAGGUGCGCAGGUAGCGCAGCGCGAUCUUCUUGUGGUUGGUGAUCAGCUCGCCCGUGACCGGGUGCUGCGCGGCCCCGCGGCGUUGUGCGUGAGGGAAAGUGGUGGUGUUGGAUGAUGGUCGCGGUAACUGAAGAACCCAAGGCAUGUACCAUACGCAGCGGAAACAUAGUCUUCACUCCCCAUCGACACUUCGGAGCGUUGCCUUGGGGAGCCGCGCCCACGGUGUACACAAGUGCGGUGUCCCGUACACCGCGACCAGCCAGCAACCCAAUGUCCAUGCUUCACGCCUCGACGUGUGCACCCCCGCAUGUGCGUCCUCGGCGCGAUGCAGGGGCACCUGGGCCCGCUACAGCCUCAACACCAACGAGCGCAGCCCUUCCCAAGCAGCUCCGGAUCGAGCUACUCCUCCAGCUUGCCAUCGCCGGCUGCACUGGCCUUAGACUGCCCUUUCCCCGCCAGACCCCAGCCCCAUCCCGGUCCCGACCCCGGCCAGCGCCCCGGCCCUGGCCCCACCACCAUUCAAUCCUACACACGUUACGCACACGCCCAGCGAGCCGCCGCCCCGCCCCACCUCGUAGGCUGUGAAGAAGUUGAGCACCAGGUCUGUGUAGAAGAAGAAGUCGAUCAGGCCCUCGAACCAGAACCAGAAGCCCGUGGCGGGCUUGUCAAAGCCCUGUUCGGUGGGCCGAGGUGGCGCAUGGAAACAGGGGUGUGAGCUGGGGGUUUAUGUGCCCGAGCCCAGUGACAAAGCCCCAUCAUCACCAGGAAGGGGGGGGGGGGGACGCAGGGGCUUCGGCACCAUGAAUGGGAUGCAAGUGUGAAGGCAAGAGGCGUGGAGAAGGUGGCCCGUGGCGGCGGCCCCAGUGCCCGGAGCUCGGCACCCAGUCACCAUCUGCUCUGUCGCGGUCAUGUGUCUAACGUGCCCUCACAAACAGCGCCACCGCGCUCGACGACUCCCACAUUUGGCUGCUAGGUGCAUUGGUUGUCAGGCACGAUACGGCAUACCACCUCAUCCGCACCCAACCCAGUUUGUUGAGCUCGGGCACACAACCCCGCGGCCCCGCCUCACCACGCGCACGGGCGUAACCCAGAUGAUGUACAGCACCACGAACAGCUGGACGUUUAUCCACCUGCAGGGCAAGAGCACAGGCAAAACAGCAAUGGAAGUAGCUUCUUUGUGUCACGAUAACACAUGAGGUGGUGGCGUGAGGGCAGAGUCGGCAAGGAUCCCUGGCGUUGCGCCAGCCAGCUGCCAGGCCAGCCAAGCCAAGCCACUGCGUGGCGUGGCCGUGGGCCAAACCCGACCUUCCCGCCAGGCAAACCCCAGUCCACAAUACUCACAUCUUCCUGAACCUGGAGUCCGGCAGAAUAACCCAUUGCUUUCUCUUCCGCAUUUGAGUGUGGUGCUGCAAGGGGUGCGGGCAGGAGUUAGAACAGCGGCCUGGAGAGCAGACACAAUCAGCGCCGACGGCCGGGGGCAAUGUCCUGUCGCCGCACCUGCUCAUCCUGGAAUGCUCGCAUACCAUCGCCAUCACGCAAAUCCACCAGCUCCAGGUCGUCGGCUUGUAGCUCCUUGCUCGAGCGCGUUCUGCGUUCGCAGAGCGGUCACCCGAUGAAGCAUUUUGGCUUCUGAACCCGAAUUAGGACAACCCGCUCGUUCCACGCACUUCGGCUUGUAGUAGUCGCUGUACUGGUAAUCGAUAUCAGAGAGCACCGGCACCUUCUCUGUGGAAUUUCGGCCUAGCGACGUCGCUCCCAAACGAGUCUCGUUCCCCUCGAAGCCAUCCACGCGGUUCCAAGACAUAGUCGGCAUUUAUACGCAGUGCCGGUUUGGCCUGACUAAGGCGCAGUCGGUCGUCAGAGGAGCAUUCUGGGUCAAUUUUCAGACACUCGUGGGAAAAGUGGCAGGGGGCCUGGUCACGUAUGAGCGUGUCUAUACAAUAAGUUACAGGAGCUUGCAUAGAUAGCGUAUUACCCCGAGCCGGCCCUCAAAAGACUCUCAACUGGAUCUGGGCACGGCACGUGGGACCCCGCGCAAACCGCCCGUCGCCCCCUCAAGCCGCCGCACGCCCAACUGUACUUCACCAGCACCCUCACCAACUGUCCCAAGCCAGCCUAUGGUCACCAGAGCACAUCGCCGGGCGCCCGGGCUCCAAACCACGUCCGGCCAUCCCGCCGACCGAAACGCCGCACAUGCAACGCGAUGCACGUUGUCAAGAAGCCCGCGGGCAAAGCCCAACACCGACAAGCUCCGGCGUAGACGACUGCAGACUCCGGUUUGCUAGUGCAGACUCCGCCUCCUGAUGGCCGCAGCACCAGACCCGCAGCACCAGACCCCCACGCACCCCUGCACGCUGGCCACCGAGCUCGUGAUGACAAAUGUUCCCCGCCGGUCACGGGAAAAGGGGCUGAGCCCCUCCACAGUCUGAGGCCGAACAACCUCAUCGCCCGGACAUAGCCGGGGUCGGUUUCCACAGGCACAUAGCCAAACCAGGUGCCUAGCAAUCGCGAUGCCACAGCAGAGCCAACCACAGCCAGACAUCAACACCCCCAACCCCCAAACCCCUCCCCCAGCCCCGCAGCCUCUCAGGCGCUGCCGUAGCGCGUCCGCUCCUCCUCCUUGUCUGCGGCCUGCAGUUCCGGCAUACCGGUGCCGUGUGGGUGAGGGCCACACGGUGCGGAGGAGCACGGGCCAUGCAGUUCCGGCUUGGCUCCAGGCCCUUGCAGCCUACACCGCUUCCUUAGUCAUCAGGCCACCGCCAGACCGCCUGCUGCCUUGAUUGUGUCAUGUGUCAAAAAGAGACAGCCCACAGCAGUGGCCUGUCUGCCCGCUGACUCCUGAUCCGCACAUCCACCAGCCCACGCGACCCAGUCAGGCAAGCCGGCCGGCCUGCCCGCCCCCCCUUUCCCCUCCGCCCACACCCUCCCAGCUCACCCGCAGCAGGGAGUCCACCACCCGUGUGGCCUUGUCAUCCUCCGCCUGGUGGCGCGGGCGGUGGCGCGGGUGUGCACGAAGGCGGUGUGAACCUUUGAGCGUGUUUGUGUUUGUGUUUGCGCGCGAGUGUGUACACGGUGAAGCACGCACGCUCUCGCACCCUCGCGUACACCAACUUGUGCUGUCAGGGGCCCGCAGGCCUAAGCAGCCCCCGGAAGGCCGACCCGCCCGCGGGGGAGGGGCAGCCCGCCCGCCCGCCGGCACUCCGCACUCAGCGACUCGGCCACGCACCUUGCUCUCUGCCGGCAGUUUCAUUUCAUCAACCUGCGCUGUGGCUGUGGACAGCUUCUCCACCGCCACCGCCGCCCUCUCUGGCAGCGUCUCGCGCGACUGCUGCUGCUGCUGUUGCGCGCCUGAGUCGCUCAUUGGCUUCUUGAGUUGCUAGAGCUUGGUUGGGUGUUGUUAGGAGUGUGCUGGAAGGAAGCCUGCCUGUGUUGACUGUGUUCGGAGUCAGGACAGUCGACCCAUCGGGCCCAUUCCCACGGCACCCUGAGUCCCUAGCCACCCGCUCUGCUCCGGCCGUUAGUUGUUCGCAGGACCAAUAUAACGUACGAUAGCCGCACGUCUGUCGUCUCAGCCUCUGCUGCUCCCUGAGUGGCUGUCCCUGCCGGCUGCGACACGCACCCUUAACACCCAUUUGAGACACGGCAGCUGGUAGGCACGGCACGAGUUACAGGUGCAAGCAGGGAAGACCGUUAGUGUGCAUGAUGAGCGUCACACGCACCACGCACAUCACGCUUUCCUGCCUGUCGCCCACAAGUCACCCAAGGGACCUUCGUGGAGCACACGAACGGCUUCCCUGCUUGCACCUGUAACUGGUGCCGUACCCGCCAGCUAUCGUGUCUCAAAACGGUGUUAAGGGUGCGUGGGGGUUGCGCGAUUUCCGGUUGGUAAGACCGGUAAGACCGGCGGCUCACCGCAGCAGGUAUGCGAGGUAACUUCAGGUAACAUCCGUAAACCGUCGCUUUGCUGCAUCGCAUACACUGUCUUUGCGCAACGUUUUCCUUGUGCUCUUUAACACAAGUCACCCACCUCCCGGCAUUCACUCAACUCUUCAACCUGGUCUUCUGCCGUCGCUGCUGCUGCCCUUCACGCGCACAGCUCGCGCAGCCUCGCCCACAACCCUACCCCCAUGCCUCAGCCUUGCUAGCCACCUACCACGAUGCGCACACCCCACCCGCCGCUCCCUGCUCCAACCCACACACCACCACAUCAACAACACUCCGCCGGCCAUCCAGCUCCACAGCUAUCCCCUUCCAUUCUUAGCCCUCCUCUCUUCCCACCCUCCACAAUCUCCAUCCUCAUCACACGCCCUACGCGUCCUCUACCUUCUCGGCCAUGUCGCGCGCCGCCUCAAAGCCCGGGUUGGCGCCGCUGCGCUCCACCUGGGCCGGGUCCUGGGUGUCGCGGCCGGGGGCCUUGUCCGCCAGCACAGCGGCGGUGUCGUCCGCAGCGUUGCGGACCUGGGCGGUGGGGGGGGGGUGGAGCAGGAGUUUGGGGUGGGAUGGGGGGUUGUUCAUUACCCCAAUCCCAAAGAAACCAAGACCCAGAACCAGGGGGUGUUGGGGGAAAGUUGGGCAAGGCUAUGGUUGAAAUGGGUUGGUGCGGAGGGCGGGGAUGCUUGUUACUACUAAGCGAUUUGUCAGGGCUGGCACGCCACGCACACGCCACACGCCAAGCGCGAUGCAACCCGCCAAUAUGCCGCCCCUCCCCGCCCGCCCAAAUCCCAAUCCUCACUAGGCACUGCACCCCAUGGUGGCCACCUUGUCCGCCUCGUCGCUGACUGCCGCCUUGGUGUCCUUGUAGGCGUCCCCAGCGCGGUCCGACACACCCUGAGCGGUCUGGGGGGACGGCAUAGGGUAUGCAGAAGAAUAAGCUCAGACGGGAGACAAUCGUGGAGGCAAGUGAGCUGGGGCUAGACACUUCAAGACAUGGGAAGAGCGACAGGCGGCAUUAUUCGUGGUGCGCAGCUCCACCCGGUGACGGCAGUGGUGUUGCUGGUGGCGGCGGUGGACUGGCUGCGCUCGAACACUCCCACGUGCGCGCGCGCGCACACACACACAAUCACACACACAAUCACACACACACGCACACAACCACAAACACACACACACGGACACGCCAAAUACGGUACACACACAGGCACACACCUCCUUGGUGCGGUCAAUGAGCUCGUUGGUCUUGCGCUCCGCCGCUGAGGCCAGGUCGUGUGCGUCCUCGCUGGCCGAGGUCUUGGUGCGGUCCUUGUCGUCGCCGCGGCCGCCGGCGUCGGCGUCGGUGCGGGUGCUGCCGGUGUUGAGGAGGUCGCUCUUGGCGACGCGGUCGGCGGUCUCGUUGGCUUGGUCGCGUGCGGCGUUGAGCGUGUCCCGAGCCUGCAGCAGGGGAAGGAAGGGGGCGGGGGCAGGGGGCAGGGGAAGGAAAGGAUUGGUGAGGACGGGUACGUACGUACAUCAGGAAAGCGGCGUUAAGGCUGGGGCGCUAGGCUUCAGCAGCCGGUGAGAGAAAGGAUGGUGGGGUUGGAGACUUGGAGGUGGGGUUGGGGGUUCGGGCGCGUGAGGUAGCCGGCCCGAGGGCUGAUGACACCUUGCCCGCUAGCGGGGGAUAGGACAGGAUAUGCGAAUGAUUGCGCUGGUAAAGCAUAGCUUGGCUAGCAGCAGCCCAAGACCCGCCGCCUCCUGUUCCGGAACUCCCGCGGCGGCCUGAGGCGGCUUGCAACUCAGCUAAUGCUCUUGCCAACCCGCGGCUGCCUGCUGCCUGCUGCUGCCUAGCCAGGAGCACCUACCGCUGCUGCACCUAACUCAGUCCCGCAGUCACCACGCACGUCAAUCACUCACCGCGUCCUGGCCCGAGGCCAGGGUCUCCUUCACUCGGUCGCCGGCCUCACGCGCGGCGUCGGCGAGCUUGUCCAUGAUGCUUCCCUCAGACAUGUUGAUGUGGAUCUGCUGUUUGUGUUAAAAACGCUUCCGUAUGGCAGGUGGGCGAGGAGAGGGUGCGUGGCAGGGUGGGGCGAAGCUUUUAUUUGCCGGUCCCGCCGCGGGCCCUUUGGCCCAUUCCGGCGCCCCCGGGAUCCCAUCCCAGGCCCCGGAAGCUGCAUACCUGGCCCUUUUCCCCAGCCGAACGCUCCUAGCUCUAUCUCCGAUUCUACUUAACUUACAGACAUAACAAGAGCAGCGCAUUAUGGACCGCGUGCUGGACGCGGGCGCAGAGGCGCUGGAGUCGCUGGGGGCCCAGCUGCGCGCGGGCGCAGAGGGCCUGAGGCGGGAGGACCAGCAGCAGCAGCAGGCGCAGCCAGAGGCUGAGGCUGAGGCGCGGCGGACGGAGGGUCAUCAGGUGAGAGGCGCACGCGGCGGUGGAGUUUUCAACCUUGACCCCCGGGUCCCUUCAGUGUUUUGCGGACCGCCGCCGGGGGCAAGCAGCCAUUGAUCGAAGAUGCUUUAGGGAAAACGAAAUGCGCAGCCAGCCUUUUCGCUUUCCACUGUCACACUCGGCGCACGCACGACACGCGCACCUAACGCUCCGCCGCCCCCACACUCUCCCCGCCCCCGCUGCCGCCACAGGUUGUGGCUGCGGACGGCAGCACCACCAGCGAACUGUACGGGCCGCAGGGACUGAACGCCACCGCCCCAGACAUCAGCAGCAGCAGCAGUGGCGGCAGCCAGCCCCGCCGCCGUGAGGCUGCUGCUACAGCCAGCGGCCGGGAGGAGGAACCGCGGCAGCAGCAGCAGCAGCAGCAGGCACCGGCGCAGCAGCAGGACGGCGGGGAGGCCGGAGUGGGCAGCGACGGCGGGCGUGGUGGCGGCGGCGGCGGCGGCGGUGAUGGCGGUAGCCUGGGUGAGGCCAUGCGCGGCGCGCAGGAGCGGCUGGCGGAGGAGAGCGAGGCGGUGCGUGGGGUGGGGUGGGGUGGGGUGCGCGCCUUGUCGUGUGUUGUGCAGCGUGCGCGUGUGCGUGUGUGAGUGAUGAGUGGGCGUGAAUUGCGUUGUCGCGUUCGUGAGUGGCGAUGGUGGGAGGCAUAGGCAGGCGUAUGCGUGUCCUUUGUGUUUGUUUGUGGUUUGCCUCACGCUUACGCUCUCACGCUAGUCGCGGACCUACCUCCUGCCAACAUGCGCACAGACCCACCAAACACCACCUCACCUCCACGCGCCCCACUCGCUCACGCUCCUAGCAUGAUUUCCGUCACGGACUUAACUUGCCACUCACUGCCUGUCUGCAGCUGAAGCAGCGCUUCUCAGGAGGACAGCAGCCCGCGGCGCCCAAGGGCAGCGCCGCCGCCGCCGCCGCCGAGGAGGCCGCCGCCGCUGAGGCCCGGCCUGUGGAGGGCUUCUCACCCGAGCUGCAGGCCACACUGGCGGAGGCCAAGAGCCGCAUCGACGCGGAGACCCAAAUGGUAGGCCCGGGUGGUGGUGGGGGUGCGGGUGCUCGUGCAGGUGCGGUUGCGGGUGCGGUUGCGGGUGCAGGAGCGGACGCGAUAGCGAGUUAGGUGUGCACGUACGUGAAGGCGUGCGCUUUCUUAUGACCCGUGCUUGGCUUCUUGGGCCAAGGGCCCGGCGUCAUGGUGUCCUCUCGUUCCCCCGCCGCCCCCCUCCCCCCUCCCGCACACGUCACACGCCCCCGGCCCCCUCUCCUGCGUGCAUGUCACGCAGCUCAAGGAGCGUUUCCACAUGACCUAACCACCGGACGACCAGACGACUAAAUGACCUGAUCACCGGCCGACGACCGGACGACCGGACGCCCACGACAUUAGCUGUCAGCGGGGCGGCACCCGUGGGCGCGGUAAUGAUGGACAAUGUGGCUUGGGAGGGGCGUGAGUGCUGCUGUCUAAGGAAGAUGUUAGCAGGUGCCCUGUUGAGGCGUUGAGCUAGGCGUGCCAACUACAAAAAGCGCACGCCGUACUCUGGGCCGGGUACUGCUGUAGCCAUGACGUCAGGACUAUCAAGAUAGGGCCAAUUGAACAACCACACCAGGUGUGACGGCACGGUGUGAUGGCCUCUAGAUGGUAAGGGAUGCAUCCCGCGUUGCUAGGCUGGCACGGGCGACUUGCUCGGACGUGUUGCAGUGAAGAAUGGGAAUGUACGCGUGCCUGUAACCACGGCUGACGCACUGCCUGGCCGAAUCUAUGAUUGCGUUUGUGUCGUGGGAGACACAAACGUACGUGUGUGUACGUGAGAACCGAGAAUGGGUGUGUGAUGGGACAGGGUUCAAGGCAGGUUGGAGAGGUCCCGUAGGGUGCAGCUGAUGCCCGUACCCUCAAGCAGACGGCAAACAGUUUGCAAUGGCAGAGCAGAAGUGCAUGGCUGAUCGAACGCCAGAGUUACUGUACCGACAAGUUGCUGGCUGGCUGGAAGUUUGCUGAUGCGUGAGAACCGAGAAGGGGUUACGGAUGUUAUUACAGAACCCACCACCAACAGUGCCUUAAGGCCGGGGCACCGACCGGCUUCUCGCUCCAUCAGGGUUUGCAUGUUGUACAGCGUCGUCCGUCGUGCGCGCUGGUAAGCAGGUUAGGUCACAAAUUAGCCGCCAGCAAGCACUGUUGCUGGCUGACGUUCAAACCAUGUGCGUUUUCACACCACUAUACGGGUACGUUCAAAGCCUCCCAAUCUAGCCAGCCCUCAAAACGACAAAACUUCCCCGGGCAGCCACCCAGAAACAAACAGACACACUCGCAGCAAUGAUGUGCAUACAGUAUCAAUCAGUAUGAGACAAACACCCCGUUGUCGUACGUGUGUGGUCGCCACUUCGUCCAAUACAGGUAGGUCACACAGUCACCGCGUCAUUCUCCGGCGCUUCCAGAGGGCGCACAUCGUCAUCAUGCUCGUAACUAUGCCGUAAACUGUAAAGACCAGCAGCCAAGCGACGCGCAGGCUACGCAGUUGACGCAACUCAGGCACCUAGCUGUACCUGGUGCAGUACAGGGGCCCGUGCCGUCCCGCCUUCACUGCUCCUGCUUGCUCGCCCACGCGCCCGCCCGCCACGCCUCGCCCCGCGCCGCGCCGCACCACACCAGGCCGCAUGUCCUGCUCUAGUCCAGCAUGAGGCAGCAGCAGCACAGCGCCGCCAGCGCGCCCAAGCCGCAGCACCACUUGGCGCUGUCGUCGGAGUGGUGGCCGUGGUGCUGGUUGUAGUGGUGGGAGGGACCCGAGGGGCCGGGCCCCUGGAUGUACACCGGCUGCGCGUACGCCCUACGUGUAGGGGAGCAGGAGCAGGAGGAGAAGCGGGGGCGGGGGUUUGGAGACAGGCGGUUUGGCAUCACAUCAUACAGAUACAAAACAUGCGGUCGCGCCUGGCACGGGGUCGGCGUGUAGGGUGUGACGCGAGGCUUUACGAUGGCCCCGACCGGGGGAGGCCCCGCAGGCGCUGCCCCGGCGGCGCUUCGGACAGCCUGUGCGCACGUCUGUGCCUCCGUGCGCAAACACACGGAUACGCGGGCUCGAGCUCUCACCCGGGAGGGCCGGGGGGCGGGUAACCACCGGGGUAGCCUGCAGGUGACGAAAGCACAGGGCGCAGCGUCAGCAUACGCACGCGCCACUACACCCCGCCCUCCCAGAAACCCCUGUACAAGCAACGGUUUUGGCCUGUGGGCCGAUGGCACCCCACAAACCCGCGAUGCAUCACUGCAGUAUCGCACACGCACCAGGCGGCGGCGGCGGGCCCUGCGGCGGGUAGCCAGGAGGGGCGCUGUAGGGCGAGGGGUAGGCCGGCGGGGCACCAUACCCGGGGCCAGGAGGGGGGUAGCCGGGUGGGCCCCCGUAGGAUUGCGCCGAGGGGUAGCCGGGCGGGGGUGGGUAGCCCGGUUGGGGCGGGUAGCCCGGAGGUCCAGCGGGAUAGCCUGCGCGUGUCAGCGAGGCACUGGGCGUCAGAUAACGGUGAGCGUGGCCCGGUGUGGUCAUAGAGGCGGUGGACCCAGGAGCCUUCCGAUACCCAUCUACACACCUGGUACGGCCUUGUUCGGGUCUGAUCCGGACGAGUGCAGGGGGAGGGAAUUCAUCGGGAAAGAAGGGGCACGAAGGUGGUUACGCGCGGGUUACGAGUUACGCCCGCUGGUGGCUGGAAAGCCCACGGCUAUGCGGCAAUAUCACCCCGGCCUGAGACAGCAUACGCCCCAACCAGGUAAAUGCGACGCCUGGCAACGUGGAGCGCUCGCAGCUUUGGAUUCACAUCCGUGCAGGUGGUUCGGGCGCGGACACGCAAAGUCUGCCCGCUGCUUUCAUCCCGGCUGUAGAGGUAAACGCAGCACAAUCUCAAGCUGCCCCCGAGGCCCGACAGCAGCUGGCCGGCGAAACGACAACGUCAACGCCUGCAUCAACUCGUCCACGCACGCAGCAUCGAUAUCCAGGCUCGACUUACCCAUUACGUGGGUGCUAUGUGCUCUUUGCGCCGAGAAUUAGGCGACCAGUCCAGUGCAGGUUGACGAAAAGGCCAGCAGUCUCCAAGUCAAACACGCGCAAUAGGGCUUGCGCUUGGUCGAUAACCUCGUUGAGUAUAUCGCAGCAGAGGCCUCCCGUCCGCAGUGGUGUGGGUGUGUGGUGCAAAACUCUAAGCUGUUCCCUAUCACAGCCAGCGCACACGACAAGCAGCAAGGAAACAAAAUCUGUGUAAGCAGCGGCUGGAGUUCUGAUGUAACUCAUUAGGAGCUGCACGUAGAUCCUCGCCUUCUCGUCAAGCGCGUGCCCCCACCUCCCAGUCUGCCACCCACCACUUCACACCUUUGCUUCCGCGUCCCCCGCCUGCCGUCACUGUCACAACCUCCUAACGGUCUCCUUACAAACCAACGCUUGCCUGACCCUAUGUCUACACGGACGCACUUGGGUACGCGCAUUCAGGGGCCGCCACGCACCUUCAGCCUGCUUCCUCUCCCCCUCCGCUCUACGGCGCAGGCAGCCCUGGGCUCCCUCUGCCUCCCCUGCCUCAACGGGUCCUUUGAAACCUCUUCACUCACCCCGUCCAAAACCGCCGCCCCGCAGCGCUGCCAUUGCAGAAUAUCACAGUAGUACCGCGUGUGGGUUUUGGGACUUCGAAAAUCCACCAACGCUUCGUUGCCUGCCUAGCAUCCAGGCACCGCCGGCGCGGUUGGCCCCGCAGGGUGCUGUGACUGCUUCACCACACACGUGCAACAUCGCUUAUGGCAACUUCAAGGUUUUGCACAGCCUCCGGGUUCUAUUAGCUGCAUUUGCGCUUGCCUGAUGUGGAAACAGGUCACCUCAGCCCGUGCUGCCCUGAACCGCCACAGCGACCCAACCAUGCACAAAACAAAGCAUGCAACGCAUGCUCAUGCACCGUAUGCAUGCGUGACCCAGCUCGCAGCUGUGCAUUGGCGCCAAUGUAUAAUGCAUUUGAAGUGGCGUCGUGCGGCUGCGACUCAAACUGUGCUAAACUCCGAGGAAACCAUCCCUCAUCCCUCAUCCCUCACCCAUCCAUCCGCACACGCACGUUCUCUCUCCUUUCGCCCCCACCCCGUCACCCCUUCACCGCCGCCGCCCGCUGCCGCAGCUCUGUGCUGCUGAUGUCCAUCCGGAAGUCCGCCUCCGUCAGACCCAGCGGGAACAGAUCCGCCAUCUGGGUCGGCACCGACACGUCAGCCAGGGUGAGGAAGCGGCCGCUGGCGCCGUCCCGCCGCCCCGCCACCACGAAGCUGCAGCCCGAGUGCCGGAAGCUGCGUGCGCAGGGUGGGUGGGGUGAGGGGAUAUGAGGGUUGGUGAUGAGAGCGGGCGGGGGUGUGGAGGAGGCGCGUGGAAGCGGCUCAUGAAAGGAGUCACUUGGAAGCAUUGCGGGAUCAAGUGAAAAACGGCAUGCAACAGGCACUGCGAUGGGGCAAUGUACAGUAUAACGCCCCCGAUUUCCUGGAAUCUCCGUCUGUGCUGCUCGCCUCCUCCACCCCUGGGGCCCCCGCACCCCGUCCCCACACCACGGCCUCACCCCGAGUAGUCCAGCAGCAUCUGCAUGAGACUGUCGCCGUGGUAUUUGGGCAUCACCAGCCGCACCGCCGUGUCGUACCCCACCACGAACCUGAGGGCACAUAGCAGGACCGAGACGAGGGAAGGAGGGGGAGUGGAGGAGGAGGGGAGAUGGACGAGGAGCGGAGGGGGAGGGGUUACGUGCCCGAGACAAACAACAAAAGGUCUCAUACAGUCAUCAGAAGAAGCAGCGGGCAACAGUUGUGUUAAAAAACGAAAUAAAAGCCCGCCCAGACGACGCCGGAGUUACACGCAACAGUUUUGUGCGUGUCUUGGUUGCAAGGGCUCCAACGCCGAUGGUCCGCAGUAGCACCAGGCCCAACCCUCCCGCUAACUCCAGCUCCCACCGCCCCAGGACUCGUUUCCUCCCUGUCUCAUCCUCCGCCGCUCACCGCGCGGCAUGCAGCAAGCCGGCCUUGUCGUUGAAGCGCGGCGCCCUCGUCACCACCACCGGCAGCCCCGCCGCCACGAAUUGCGCCACACGCGCCCGAAUCUCAUCGAGCCCCAGAAGACCCUGGCGCCAGGGGGGGAAUGCAGAAGUGGGGAGCGCGGACGUCAGUUCCAAGGCCAAGGGAGAAGCGCGGGGAGGUGAAGGAGGAGGCGAGGGGAUCGGUGAUCAGUCGAAGCCAAUUCCAAAACGCGGGGUACCCGACGCUCUGCUAACCCGUAACCGCCCUCACCCAGCUUUGCUUUCUCGCGAAAGAGAGUGGAAAGGAAUCCUUCCCCCGCUGCCUGUGCUCCGCUAGUUUGGCUUGGUUUGGUUUAAUUUGGGCUGGUAAUUACAACCCCGCCCGGCCCUGCCCACCUUGUCGGCGUUCUCCACCGUGAGCUCGAAGGCGCCCUCCAGCUGCCGCCCCGCCGCCUUGCUGGCCGCAGCCACCGCAGUCGCCAGCAGCUGCUUGUGGCCUUUAGGGGUGAUGUGUGUAUGUGUGUGUGUGGGGGGGGGGGGGGUUGGUAGGGGGUUGUCGAUACCAGCCCAAACUAAACCGAACCCAGUGGGGGUAGCUGUCCAGGAAAGACGAGCGGGAUGUCGCAAGGUUGAGAGGCGGCGGCGGCGAGAAAAACGGGGAGUAGGUGAGGGGGUGGUGGCAGCGGGGGAGCAGCGAGGGGACAGCGAAGCUGUGAGAUGCAAGGCCAGUAGCACCGCCUCCACACCGCCCACUGUCCCACGACCCAGAGCCCACGGCUUCGUGCCCCCGGCCCCCGCGCCUGCUAUAAUACUGUUCCUGGCUACACCUUCACUUCUUAAACAAUCAUGAAUGUACCCCGCCCCCCCCCCCCAGCCAGGCCCCCCUCACCGUCGUGCAGCGGGUUGAAUGAGCCGGGCAGGUACACCCGCCCCGGCCGCGGCGCGUCCACACACACCUCCGCCGGCGCGCCGGACGGCCCCCCGCCCGAGUACUCCACACAGCGCACCUGCGCCGCGGCGGGGGGGGGGGUGAUGGUGGGUUUGGUGUUUCGGCAUUGUCGUUGGUAUUGGUGGCUCGGGGUUCCCUGCCCCCCCGGGAACGAACAACGUUACCCCCCCCCCACACACACACCCCUCACGCAAGCCUCUGCCGCAUACCACAAAUCAUUCCGCCGUAUCCUCGAUGCUGUGCUGCAAGAGGCCUUGCAGAGUAUCGUACAAAGCCAUGCUCGUCCCCUGUUCCCCUGCCUCCCGCCCCUGUUCUACCUAUUUCCCGCGCCCCCACCUCCCCAGCCAGCAGGCGCUGCAGGGGGUCGCCCGCCGCCGCGCAGUCGUCGUGGAGGACGUCCGGCGCCUGGGGGGAGGCUGUAGCAGCAGCGGCUGUAGUAGCAGCGGCUGUAGUAGCAGCGGUGGCUGUAGCAGUGGCGGCGGCGGCUGCCGCCCCCUCCCCCUGGGGCCCUAUGAGUGGCAGGGGGAAGUUGGCUGCGUCCACACCGGAGGCCUCCGCCAGGAUCUGACGCAGCACGUGGGGGGGGGGUGUUACACGCAUUAAGUUUACGAAGUGAAGUCGUAGCCAGAUACAAAGGUACACAGUAGUGGGGAGGGAGGGGUAUCCGUUGAUUGAGGGGAGCCCACAGGGCCUGACCGUGGGGCCACACCGACUUCACACACCCAAACACACAAGCACGCAUACACCCACACGACCGGUACCAGCAGUACAUUCCUUCCUGUGCGCCCUUCGUAGCACACACAUACACUCACGCCCUUCACACACUGCCUCCCCCGCCUUCCGGCCCCCGCCCCCUCCGCCCGACAUCGUCGGUAAUGAUCGUUGUUCCCCCCAAAAAAUGCCUACCGUCUACCACUUCCUUAAUUAAUCAUGAAUGUAAACCCCCGCCCCUCCCCGCCCACCCGCACCUUAACAAGCAGCCUGCUGACCAGGUCGUCUUCGCCCACACGGCUGCGCGCGCCCUUGCUCAGCGUGAGCGACACGCAGCGCCGCCCGCCGCCGCCGUGCACCGCCACGUAGGCGCGGUGCUCGCCGCGCUUGAGAGGGAACUGGAAGGGGGUGUGGUGCGGUUUGAGGGGUGGGGUUGAGGGGUGGUGGUGGUGGUAGCGGGGAUUGGGUUUGUUGGCAGGGGCGCGGAUUGAGGAGAGGGGAGAGGUCAGCCAUAAAGGGCAGCAGCGCACUGGCCCCUGGCGUCGCUGGCUUCAGAUUGGAGAUGCCACGGACACACCCCUUCUUUCCAGCACCGCAAUCAGUUAACUGUGCCGCCCCACCCUCCCCUCAGCUCCAUCUACACCCGAGCACGCCCCCACCCGCGCGCUUGCCACGUCUCCGGGCCUGACACUGAUCCCUGCCAUCAGACCUUUCAUACCCUCUCCCCUCUCCACUCUCCACCGCCCCGCCGCCCAAUCGCCACCCCGCUCCCCCUACUACUCCACCCACCACCGGCACCACCGCCCUCACUCACCGUGGCCAGGGCGCAGGUGGCGCCCACGCCCACGAUGCCGUCGCCGAAGCCGCUGAGGGCGGCGGCGCGGCGGUAGGCGGCCUCGGCCAUGGCGGCCGCGGUGCCGGCGGAGCAGAACUGAGCCGGCUCCUGCGUGUGCAGGUGGAGGCGUGUGUGUGUGUGUGUGUGUGUGUGUGUGUGUGUGUGUGUGUGUGUGUGUAUGUGUGUGUCUCUGUGUUAAAGAGCACAAGGAAAACGUUGUGUGUGUGUGUGUGUGUGUGUGUGUAAGAGGCGUUCGUGCGGCAGGCGCGCGCACGUGUGUGGUUGGGCGGGGAGGAGAUUCCUCUUCUGAUUGUUUGCCAAGCUGCCUGCGUCCAGACUUGGUUGGUUUGGGCUGGCAGCUGAUCGUCACCGCACCCCACCUGACAAUCCGGUCGGGACCAAUCGCGUACAUGGGCAUUUGCCUUUACCCAACCCCCAUACGCGGGCCAUGCCCGGUGCAGGGCACACCCACAGUGCCCCCAUCCCCGCCCCAAACUUUCUCGUUGGGCCCGGCCACAUAACCCCCCCCCCCUCCCGUGCCCCCUUCCCCACCCCUACCCCACCUUGCCCCCCAGCACCUCCACCAGGCUGUCGCGGGCGUACGGCACCGCCGCCUCCAGCACCGUGGCCGAGGCGCCCGGCACCGACAGCAGCCAGGAGAUGGACUGCGAGCAGGGCAGGGGAGAGUGGCGAGUGGCGUGGCUUGGCGGAGGGGUCACGUGGGGGUGUGGUGAGAUGUGCGUGGUUGUGGUUGGAAGUGAAGCAAACAGGGCGGACGGGGCGCAGCUUAGACUCUUAGCGUGUUGUGCCAGCUGUAGAAGGAUAGAAGCAAGCGCAUACUACAACGUGACCACGGUGACACGCGUGGCAAAUCUGCGGCACCUUGCCCCGCUGACCCCGCCGUUUUCCUCCUCACCUGCACCGCACCGCCGGUUGUGUACACGACUGCCUUUGUGCGACUGGCGUGAAUUCGCUUGAUAAGCGACUCGACAUCCGGGGGAAGCUCCUGGGCCUGAGCAACCGCCUGUGGCGCGGCGGGCCCGCGCACAGCAUGCGAUGCCGCGCGAACACUGCCCGGUGCUGCUGCCGCCCAGCGCAGACUGGCGCAUUGCGCCUUAGGCAGCACACGCAUGAUGCUGCCGGUGACUAGGGAGGUCGUGGCCCGGAGAAUAUGAAGCGGGAGAAGAACUGGUUUUGCAAUGGCGCGCAACACUGACUUCAUGAGAUAGUUUCAACUAUGAGCAGAAGCGCGCCAGUGCCGAACGCACAGCGGCUGUUUUAUUUUUUUGCGGGGAGUGAGUCAACGAGUUUCCUUUCGAAUGCAUUUCCGGGCCCAAUUCGUGCUUCCUACUGCGCUCUUUAUGUGGACUAGCCCCUGAACCCGCUUUACCUACUAGAUAGCUCUUGACUCCAUGCUUGGACAGCUCAACAAGGCUGCCCGUUUGGGCCGGCCCGCUCCUGCAGCUCGACGGGCCAUGCGCGUGCGAUGCGCAGCUGUUGCCGCGCCGACACAGCAGAAGCUCAUUGCGCUGGACUUUGAUGGCGUGGUGUGCGACUCGGUCGGGGAGAGCAGCCUGUCCGCCUUCAAGGUGCACACCUCGAGCUGGCGUUGCGUGCGGGUUUCGGGCUGCACGAGGCCUUCUGAGCCGUCCGCCAGGGCACAGCUGGGGGCCCUGCAUGCAGUCGCUGCAGCACUGACGCAAUGACCUCAUGAAUCAACCUGGGAUCGUCAGGCCGGCUGGCUUCAGUACGAGUGUACAUACGGGCAGAGGGCGGCACAGACGCCGCCUCACGCGGGACUUGCUUCCGUUUGCCACUUAACCGCCUCCCCACGCAUUCUCCUCCCCCUCCCCCCCUCACCCUCCCAACUCCCAUACGUACACACACAUACACCCCUCCACGUCCCUAGCACCCCAACCAACGAACCAACCAACCGCACACGCACACACGCGCCACCCCCAGGCCGCCGCCAUCCUGUGGCCGCACAUCUUCGAAACACCCGCUGCCGAGUCCCGCAAGGGGGAGCUGGUAGAGAAGAUGCGGGCCGUGCGCCCCGUGGUGGAGACCGGGUGAGCGCCGGUGCUGAGCCUGCUGGGCCGGGGGGGUCGUGGGAGGGGGCGGGCAGGGCGGUCCGGGUGUGGGCCGGAGAUUGCGCGGCGCCGGAAUGGGCGUGUGCGAGUGGCGUCAUGGCGUGUCGAGCGUGUUUGGUGUCAUAGGUUUGCAAUGGUGGAGUGAAGCUGGCUGCCUGCCCUCAAUCUCACAUCUGCAUGGAUGAUGAAUCCCGCCGCGCUCCCAACCGCCACGUUGUCCGCAUGCCAGCAACACGUUGUCCGUGUGAUGUGGACAAGUUGCCCCAAUGACGUUUGUUAAUGUGUGCGUGCACAGGUAUGAGAACAUCGUUCAGAUCCGGGCCCUGUACGAGGGCGUGUCGGUGGACGACAUGCUGAGCAGCUGGGAGCACCUGCUGCCAGCCAAGAUGGCGGAGUGGGGGCUGCAGCGAGGAGACGUAAGAGAAUGCGUGUGUUUGUGUGUUUGUGGGUGGGUGGGGCGGUAGUUGCGAAGAAGCGGGCGCAGCGGAGUAGCGGGCGUGGAGGGGGUUACAUUCUUGAUUAGCUAAGGAAAUGGUAGACGGCGGGGGAGUGUUUUCACCUGCCCACGCCACUUCUCCCGUCCGAGGCCACAAUCGUCCAAAGCACGGGAUUGAGAACACUGCCCUCCCACACCCAUGACCCACAUGCGCACACACAUACACGUUCUUGUGCUUUCUUAGCACACCCCUACACACGCGCGGCCCCCCUCCCUCCAGAUGGUGGAGUUGUUCGGGCGGGUGCGUGACGACUGGAUCGCGGCCGACCUGGCUGGCUGGCUGGCGCCCAACCGCAUCUACGACGGCGUGGCGGACCCGGUGCGCACGGCGCUGGCGGCACACCACGUGUACAUCGUCACCACCAAGCAGGUGAGGCCGCGCGCGUGUUAGCACAACGAAACCGGGAAGCGCCCAUGCGUGCGUGUGCGUGCGUGUGUGUGUGUAUAUGUGUGUGUGUGUUCAAGAGCAGAAGGAAAACAAAGCGCAACGACUGUUUGUGUUAAAGAGCACAAGGAAAACGUUGCGCAAAGACAGUGUAUGCGAUGCAGCAAAGCGACGGUUUACGGAUGUAUGUGUGUGUGUGUGUGUGUGUGUUUGUGUGCAUACCUGCUGCUGUGAGCCGCCGGUCUUACCAACCGGAAAUCGCGCAACCCCCGCUACUCUAACCUCGAGGGGGGAUUAGUGUCCACACGCUCUCAAGGGUGCAAACCCAUGCAUGUGCUCACGGUACCGUGAGGCCCAGGCACUCCUACGAUUCCUAGCUCCGCGUCGCUACUCCUGGCCGCUAGACUGUUUGUGUGUGUGUGUGUGUGUGUGUGUGUGUGUGUGUGUGUGUGUGUGUGUGUGUGUGUGUGUGUGUGUGCGUUUGGUGCUGGGAGGAUGAGCUGUGAGGCGCAGCCGGGACUUGCAGCGGUCGCGGCAGGCGGCUGUGGGCACAGGGAGGCCCGCCUGCCCGAGCAGCCCAGUGCAGCCCACCGCAAGCGAAGCGUAAGCGGAACGCCACCGAACCCGCCACAAUCACACCCCACCGCCAGCCGGGCCAGCACCCGCCACAGUCCCAUCCUCGCCACAGGCGCACCAUCACUGACAGCCACCACAUGCAACCCUAACUCGCCACCCACCGCCGCACCACUGCGUGCCCGCACCCACCGCCACAGGCGCACUACACAGAGAUCCUCUUGCGCGACAUGGCGGCAGUGCCCUUCCCGGCAGGUGGGCAGCGCAGGCAGCGCAGGCAGCAGCGCGGCGCGUUGGCGUGGGCAUUGGGGUUGGGGCCUGCUGCUGGGCUUGCAGCCGCGCCGUCUUGCUCGCAGCCCGACCUGCCAAUGCUGCCGUGCUGCCCACCCAACCCCCGUGGGACCCCCCUUGCCACCACAACCACCACAACCACAAGCACCACCACCACCACCACCGCCACCACAACCACAACCACCACCACAACCACCACCACCACCACAACCACAACCACCACCCAGCCAUCUCAUAACCAGCAGCCUGCCAACCCCUCCGUCUCGUCCUCCUCCUUGUCCUCCUCCUCCCCACCCCCUCCGCCCUAUCUUCCGACUCCUGCUCCUCCUGCUCCCCCAGACCGCAUCUUCAGCCAGACCGUGUCGGGCCGCCCCAAGGGCGAGGUGCUGGCCAACCUGGCGGCGGCGCACCCGGGCGCAGCCGCCAAGAUAUUCGUGGAGGACAAACUCAGCACGCUGGAGAAGGUGGCCAAGUGGGUGCCGGGCGGGUUGCUGGGGGGGGGUGCUGGGCGGGGUACUGAGCGGGGCGCUGGGUUGGGGUGAUGGGUGGAGUCGUGGCUAAAUCUGAGGCUGAAGCGGGUUGAGGACUGGUUGCGAGGGGCGUUGGCCCGGCUGCUUGGAAGAGGCGGAGCUCUCAGGACGAAUAGCGGACGCGAGACGUUCACACGAACAGCGGCGCUUUGUGCAUGUCCCGAAACACAGAGGCCUUUGACACCUAUUCCGCCACUACCGCCACCGCCGCCGCCGCUGCCGCCCUCACUGCCUGUCUUCACCCUUCCACACGUGCGCAGGGACCCCUCCCUGUCCGACUGGAAGCUGUUCCUGGUGGACUGGGGGUACAACACCCCCGCCGAACGCGCCCGCGCCGCCGCCCACCCCGCCAUCACCGUGGUGGACAAGCAGCAGUUCGUGGAGCUGCUGCAGCCCUGAGAAACAGGAGGAGGAGAGGGAGGAGGAGGCAUGUGGAGGGAGGAGGCGGAACAGGAGGAGGAGGCGGAGGCAUGUGGAGGGACGUCUGGGGGCUGUGUUGCGUAGUUGCGUCACUCACUUCUGUCGCCUGGUGUGAUCUUGUACGCGUGUGUGGUGCUCCUCGGCGUGCGCUUUGGGUGAUGCUGAUUGCUUCGUGAGUUUCGGGCUUGUGUAUGACUGUAUGGUCCAGGUGAGGAAAAGCACAGCUGCAGAUUGUGUGGUUGUGCGUGUGAUCUGAUGUCGUAAGAGAGAGGUCAUUGCGAUGAGCGCUAUGGUGGUAGCCUCAAGAAGUGUCGUGCAACAUGAAUGCCAAGUGACUGGGUGCGGUAACUCGGCUCGGCGCAUGUAGGCGACGUUGACGGCCGUUGCAGGACUGCUGCAGGACUCGUAUGGUGCUAGUUUGAACUGCGCUACUGCGGUGUGCAUGGGUGUGUUUUGGUUCCGUGCAUACCGGGUGCGGGUGCGGGUGAGCAGCUUGUGUGGGGAUGAGGCUGAUGGUAGGACUCGACAUGGACUAUGUUACAUUCAGAUCAGAGUGCCUGCAGCGUUGGCAUUCCACACAUGCAUGCCCCGCGCCGGCUUAGUCCCUGGGCAACACACCUUUCCUUCAUUACCCCGUACAGCCCUGACUGCCUCCCAGGCCAGCAAUACAGCCGUACCUAUGUACUCAGGCUGUACCGACUAUGUACUCACUGCAUUUCACCCCAAUCCCAAACCCAUAACUGUAGUAGGGCUGCCGGCAUAAGACAGCCCCAAUGCGUGUUCUGCAGCAGGGGUUCCCUGUUCCGCGGGGUUAUGUACUGAAUGUGGCGUAGAACCGCAGCGGUUCGCCUGCACCAACAGUGACACAUACUCUCCUUGUCACCGCCUGAAGCCCUGAGCUAGUAGACUACUUGAAGUGCACCGUGAUGGUGGCGCGUCGCAUGCUGUGGCACCAGCCCGGGAACGCCGCGCACUGCAUCAGCCGCAGCUCAUACCCGCCUGCUCCCCCUCCCCCGCCCGCCGCCGCUGCCGCCUCGCCGCCGCCAGCAACCGCCGCCCCGCCGCCGCCAACCGCCGCCGCCCCGCCGCCGCCGUACACUUUCUCAUUCAGGUCCUGCACGACCGCGCUGUCCGGACCCUGCACGACACGGUGCGUCUGGUAGUUCCGGUCGGCGUGGCGGUUGGUGAACAGCCGCCCCGGGUCACCCUGUCGCAGCGGCUGGCCGUUGGGCGGCCCCACCAGCACCAGCUCGCCCCAGGUCCAGCUGUUGCGGUAGCUGCCACGGUCGGAGGGGUAGCUGCUCCAGCCCUGUGGUGGUUGUGUGUGCGCGUGUUUGCGCGACGGAGGGUGCGUGAGCGAGCGUGCGAGUGGGCGGCACCGCAGGCGGUGCCAAGGCCGCGAGGAGGUUGCUGUAAGUAGCGUAGCUUGCGACGUUCCGCACUUCCGCCAAGUCGCUUGGCCUGGCCGGGCUGGGCUACCCCGCCCGCUACCGCCGCCGCGGCACAGAAAUGCCAAGCGGUGCUGCCCCCGUGCUCCAACGCCCGCGUCCAACCAGCCGCGCCCGGUCGCACCUGGUCGUGUGCCUCCGCCUCCACCGCCACACUCGUCACCUCCGCGCGGCCGCCAGACAUGGCCGGCAGCGGCGCACACAGGUAGGCGCUGCGGCCGUUGUGCUGCUCCCGCUCGCCCUCGCGAGUGAAGGUGAGGCACUGCCGGAACCCGAGCUCGACCAGCACCCGCCUGCAGCACACAGGCGUACCGUACACAACAAGGCGGCGGGCGGGCGGGGGCUUAACGUUGCGGUGCACGGCCCUCGCCCGACACCCGCUACCAGCGCAGCCCUUCACAACAGGCCUUGGCCCCCGUGCAGCCCGCCUUCCAACGCCCCUACACACCGCCGUCUGCAGCCCACACUGCCCCACCUGACGUGCUGCGGCUGCGGGCUGCACGCCGCCAGCCACUCGCAGCUGCACAGCGCCGCCACCAGCGCCUCCAGCUGCCGCGGACCCAUCACCACCACACGGCCCAGGGGACCGCUGUCCUCCAGGCGGGGGCCACCACCACCGUCACCACCACCAUUACCACCACCAGCAUCAGCGGGUGCAGCAGCCGCGGCAGGUGCCGCGCUGCCCGAUGCCGGGGCGCCGCCGGCGCCGCCAGCGCCGCCAGGGGCUGACGAUGCAGUUAAGCAAGGAAGGUGCUGCAGCUGCGCCUGCACGGGGAACAGAUGCAGGUCAGUGGCGGUCAGACGGGAGCCGGGGCCAAGGUGCCACACACAUCACACAGAGCAGCUCAGCCCAUCCUGAACGCCUGCAACUGCUGUUUCCUCCUGCCCCAUCCUGCUGUUAUUUCAACCCCGCUGGCACCAACCACGGCGUUCCCUAGUCCCCCUCCCUCCUUCCGGCACGCACCUUGCUCAGCCUCCUCUCCCUGUCCUGCCUCCUCAGCUGCUUCCGGCCGCCUGCCUCCACAAACGCCUCCAGCGCCGCCCUGUCCGCCAGCACCACCCGCACCAGCUGCAGCUCCGCCACCACCUGCAGGAAACUGCUACAGCCCAGGAAGUCAGCCGCAGCCGCAGCCUCAUUUGUAAUUGCGGUUGCGUGACCUGCCAGGAAGGCGGAGAGCCAAGCACGCCAGGCCGGGCCUGCUGCUGCCACUGCUACUGCCGAGCCCCCAGCUGCUACUGCUGCUGCUUCUGCCGCUUGUCGCUGCAGCGCCCACUCAUCCAGCAGCCGCAGCCCCAGCGGCGUGAUAGCGGUGGGUACGGCCGGGACCACCACUGUGCGGGCAGCUGCGGGGGUGGCGCUGCCGGCGUGGACGUCCUCCCCGACCAGGUCUAGCAGGUCCCGCACCACGGAGCAGGUGAGCGCCAGGGCCAGGGACAGGCUCACGUCACGGUCGGGGGCGCCAGGCUGCAGCGGGGGGGAGCGGGUUGGUAGCACAACAGGUGAGCAGCGGGCGAGGACAGGGCGGAUGCGGACGUACGUGCCGAGCAAGGGUGCUGGGCAGCUGGGGAGUGGCGGCACGUCGGCCCUUGUGAACAGUUGUGGUUUACAGAUCUGCUGAGGUGUGACGGCUCACCACUUGGUCGGGCUGGCGAGGCGCGAAGGCGAAGGGCGGUGCAGAGGCCGCAGGCUCGUCUGGCUCGCUGGCUGCAGGCACAUCGCCUGCGGAGCCAGCGGGUCGGGCCUCGCCUCGGCUGUCAAUGUAUCGGGGCUCCGUUUGCCACUUAUCCAGCGUUUGAGGCUUUUAAGCAUUUCACGGUAUGGUCUGUGACCAGGUAAGGCUGGACUGGGUGCCGGGCGCGACGAUGCACAAGACGCGACAAGCGCACGAGCCUUCCUGGAGUCAGUACCCUUGGGAUAAUAUGGGAGCUGCAAAGUAUAAGUGGAAAGCUCAGUGCAAUUAAUGGAGCGCUGACUGAAGCGUUGUUUAAGAACCCACCCGGACGAAACCGGAGUCCAUUGCGCGCACGGUCUGGUGCGUGGCUUGAUGGCGCGCCCAUUUCAUAUGUGCCUUUCACUGACGUCCAUAAUCUGUUUACGUGGUUGGGGACCUGCGACAGUGGGCCAAACGGCCGGCAAAACACAGCACCAGACAGCACCGCCCCUGGUCCGGUGCCGCGUGAAGGAAGGGAACAUGUAUGGCGCCAUAGGGGGUCCCUGUCCCUUCAAUUGUAAUUCGCAUCCAUAGGGGGUCCAGCAUGGGUAGGGCCUGUACCAAACGACAAGUACCAUUUCUUACUGCAUUAGGAUAUUAAUGUACUAUAUAGGAAUGCGUUGGGGCCGCGGGUGGAUUGUAACGCGCGGGCACCGCGGGCUCACCGACAAACCCUGCCGGCCCGUUGGCGCAGCCUUUAUGUCGCGACGCUCUAGUUUUGCAGAUUGGUUCCAAAUUUUGCAUUAUCCAGCAUGAAGAGGCGUGCCCUGGGGUUAGCCUCCUUCAGAAAAGUGCGAGAAGCUGCAUCAUGCACCCUGGUCUCUCCCCCCGCCAAGAUUACUCACGUCAAACAAAGCACCAAACAAUUGGCUGCAUACUUUGUGACCUAGUGUAGCGGCGCAACACAAUUCAGGCAGCCUUGACUGGGUUUUCUAGAACAAGUCUUGCCAAGUGGCGCCGCGGCCUUCGUAAUCAAAUGACUUACAGACUCUGUUACCCGGUAUAGCUAUUUAUAACGCGACCAGGCGAACUCUGCGUAGUCGCGACUAUCUCUUAAAUAAGAAGCGGUGUUUGAACUGGCUUGACUAGCGUUUGGAUGGCAACCAGGCUGGUUGCGCUGCUGACAACUAUGGCCGGCUCAGGAAGUGCGCAGGCGCAGCCCGGGAAGCUGCCCAAGCAGCCGAGCGGCCGCGUCAUUCCCGGUGUUGACAAGAGCCAACUUGCCGGCCUGCAAGCACGUUGCCUACUGGCCGCGUGCAUUGCGCUAGCCGGGUUUUUAGUUGUUAUGCUGCCAAUGCUGGUCCUCCUCGGGCUCUUCAUUGCGCCCGCCUGGGUCUGCCUCGAGGUGCGGCGGCGUUCGCUGUGCAGCGCUGUGGAGGGGGAUGGGGCGGGGGCGGCAGUGCGAGGACGACAGAAUACGCUGCAGAUUCUCCAAGCAGGAAGUGGAAAGUGGCGCAUGCACUGUCUCCGGAGCUUUGUUAUGCUGGGGGCGGGGUUUGUAGGAUUGGCAACGUGUGCCUGUGCACCUCUCGCCAAGCUACCUACCUGGCCGGGGUAGUCACGGCCGUUGCGCGCCCGUUUCCAAAUGCAGGCGGCAUUCUUCGUGUGGUGGCAGAGGGCUUACGCCCACCUUAACCAGCAACCCAGUCUGCACCGUCCGGCGGAUCCCGGUGAGGCGCGGCACAGGGAGCUCCCAACUGCGGUGCUCACAGGAGCUCCUGCUCUUAGUAUGCCGUCGGCGGCUAGCGUGUGCGACCGCAAAUGGACACGUAGACGUCAAGAGGAGCAACAUACUUAGGGGCGCCGCAACCCAACUGUACCCACUCCGGCUUUCCCUUGCAGAGCAUGCCCGCCGCGUGUUUGACCGGUUCAUCAAGGACCAGGCAAGCAUCUCCAAGUACAUCUGCAUCAAAAAUGUGCGUGGCUGUGUCUCACACAUGGGCGCAAGGCUGGGCGGAUGGACCGCACAGCGUGCUCGGGAACGCAGUAGCUGCAACGGGAUGUGGGUUGGCGCCUUGGCGGGAAGGUCCUGCACCUGCAUGCCCAAUUGUGCCGUAAUCUCAGCGUCGCGCCUGCGCCUGCCUGUUCUCCAUGCCGACGCCGCCACCACAGAUGCUGUCCAAAUGGUAUUGGGGCGUGCCCGCGGACAAACUCACAAAGCGCGACGUUGAGAGCCUGUGAGUCGCGGCCGUGUUUUGCAAUCGGGGCAAGGAGGGGGCAUACGGGCAAGAAAGGGCAAUACUUGAGCAGGCAGGUGCGCCUGCGCGGCUCUGCGCGGCAGUAGCUUGCGUGUACGGCUAAGCGUCCGCGUCACUGGCAACCAGUCCCCGUCGUAGGACCCGCCUGAAAGAGCCGCACCCACCCGCCUUCGCUCCCGAUCUACAGCCUCCUCUGCAUAAACCCACAACCAACAUGCGUACCGCCUUUACCGUACUCCCUCCUCCACCUCCUCCUCCUGGCUCCUACUUCCCUUCCGUCCCACAGCCUGUGCUACGGCUUCUGGUACCGCAGCCGCGAGCAGAUGCGGGCGGACGGGCUGGGUGACGUGGCUGACUCGCUGGUGGCGGAGCUGGAGGCGGCCUGGGGCGUCAGCUUCAAAGACGACGCCGACGCCCAGCCGCACCCCAUGAUGGCGCACCUGUGGCAGCCGGUGCGCGCCUUCUGGCGGCCGCUGGGCUUCUACGUGGCCAUUGAGCUGCUGGUGGGGCUGAAGCACGUGAUGCUGCUGGCGGCGGGCUUCAGGCCCUACAUGGUGGGCGGCCUGCGCUACUACACCUACGGCCUGCCGCCGCUGACGCCCGCCCAGGCGGCGGCGGAGCUGGUCGCGGUGCAGGUGGGCACCGCCAGGCGGGAGCGGGAGCAGGAGGGCCACCGCCAGGAGCAGCAGGCGGCGGCGGCGGCGGCGGCUUCACAGCGCCGUGGCGGCGCCGGGCGGCGCGAGGCGGAGGCCACGUCAGCUGCGGCGCCGCUGCUGUUCCUGCACGGCGUGGGUCUGGGGCUGCUGCCCUACCUCAACUUCCUGCUGCAGCUCAGCAGCCUGGGCCGGCCGAUGGUGGCGGUGGAGGUGCGGCACCUGUCCAUGCGCGCCUGCUCCGAGGUGCCGGAGGAGGACGAGGUGGUGGACUGGGUGUGCGCCGCGCUGGACCGGCACGGCGUGGCGCGGAUGCACGUGGUGGCCCACAGCUACGGCACCUUCAUGGCCAGCCGGCUGGUGCAGCGGCGGCGGGCGGCGGUGGCCAGCCUCACGCUGCUGGACCCGGUGUGCUUCAUCAUGUACAGCGGUGGGUUGGGUGGGAGUUAACUCUGAACCAAGCCCAUAAGGGUUGAGUGGGAGUGGGGCAGUGGGCUGGUGGGUGGCUGGCUGGGUGGGUGGGGCGGACGGCAGGCAAUUGGCAGGCGGGUGGGUUGGGCAGAGAGGCGGGUGGGCCGAGCCCCGGCCGCGUUCUUACAACCUUGCACUACAACCGCCGCGACCCACAUCGCCGGCCUGUCCCGCCGCACAGGCAAACUCAUCUACAACUUCGUGUACCGCAACCCCUGGGCCGGCGCCUCCUUCCUCACCUGGUUCAUCGCUCGCGACCUGGCGCACUCGGUGUCCGUGAGCCGGCGCUUCUACUGGUCGCUGCUGAACUUGUGGCCCGACCAGCUGCCCGACCACACGCUGGUGGCCAUGGGCGCGAGGGACGAGCUGGUGCCGGUGCCGGUGAGCGGGGGGAGGAGGAGCGGGGGACGCUGGGGAGGCGGGUGCGCGGGGGGGGGGGGCUGCGCAGUGAGUGAGCGGCGGCUGGGUAGGGUGGCACGGGGGCUGCUGUGUAAGGCCUGCCGUGCCUCACCACCAUGCCGCGCCAUGACCACGGCAACCCCUCGCUGCCACCUACUUCCUGUGCACCUGCUCCCUAACUACCACCCUGCCCGCCUGACCUCUUUACUCUCCACACCCAUGUCGUGUCCUGCUGCCCAACCUACCCAACCUGCAGGAGGUGCUGACCAUGCUGGAGGCGCACCCCGACACACGCGUGCUGCUGCACCGCAACCACCGCCACGCCGACUUCAUCAAGGACCUGCGCUGGCAGGCGCGCAUGGUGCAGGAGGUGGCGGAGCUCAUUGCGGGUGCCUGCGGCGGCGGCCGCAUAACGCACGCGCGCAGCGACAGCGCCAGCAGCUAUGAGGUGAUGGCCGGGCUGAACGGCGGCAUCAGCGGCGGCGGAGCGAAGAAGACCAACUAGCUGUUGCGGUGAGGUGGAGAGGGCGAAGGAUGGAGGCAGGGGAUGGAGGAGGGGACAUGUGGCGGAAUGGGGCUUGCCGAAGUGCCGUGCCGCAGGCGGACGGGCGGCGGGCUUAGGCGUGUUGCGUGGAAGAGCGUAUGGGGAAGGAGUGGGCAUGGCUAGCCCAUAGCGCUGGCAGAAUGCAAAGGCCGGGCGUAGCAUAUUGCGGUGCAUGAAGAUGAAGUGUGCUUGAUCCCUUUGUAUUGCUGUAUGGCCUUGCCGGGGCAGGGCGUGCUGCCGCCACUGUGAAAGAAACAAGUGUUGCAACGAGGCCGUAUAUGGCGGUGCGUGUGUGUGCGUGUGUUUGAUGCCUGGACGUGUGCUCGGCAUCGACGCUUCAGGAAAGCCGAUGCAGAGUCAACGCGCUGGGGUGUCCAUGUGGAUUAUAUUAUGGGCCCGCGUGCUCGUAACCUUGCAUGCUGAUUGUGUGCGCGUGUACUUGCAGUGAGCCAGGUUGGCACACGCAUGAGUGUGGGCGGGCAGCUGGGGGGCGAGAGCGAAGAGAGUGACCUGGGCGGAAGCACUGGCCGCUUGCGUGUGACUGGGUGUGCCAUCGAAGAGCAACGCUGAUCGAGUACUCACCAAUAGCACCUCGUGUGUGUGUGCGCUCGUGUUCUCUUGCGGCCCCUGGGAUAAAGGUGACCUGAUUGAUUGUGGCAUAGAAAUACAGAAGUUCUGCUCUCUGCUGUUGUUCUAGCUUGUGUAGCUGACAUGGCGUGCUGUCUUGUGAGGUGCCCAUGGCAUGGUCAGCCACCGAUGUUGAAUCUGUGGCCCUCGAUCCUGAAUGUGUGGCUCUCAUUCAUUUGUGAGUUGUGACCAACAAUUUUGUAGGCGUACCGCUUGCCUGUGAGCGUAGGGCCGGAGCAUACACGCAUGGUAGCGUGACUUGUGGGCGUAAGAGCAGGGGAGGCGUGAAAGCUAGCCAAGGCUUGGACCUAUCUCACGAUCUGACGGCGUGUCAACUAUAAUGGGCCUGCGUUUCCUGCAUUCUUGGACGACGAAAUAUUGUACGGGGAGUGUUGGUGUGGGGCAUGAGAUUCACUGCGGCUCUAUGUGGCCACGUCCUGGUCGCAGCAACGUGAAGUACGGCAUGUGCUGCGCGCCAAACCGCCCGUCGGGUGUUGUUCGGCGGUGCGUUGCUACCGUACGUUUUGUUCGCAACUGCGGGGGACUGCACGGCGGGGCUGUGUUGGGCGUGGAAUAACACGAAACACCUUGUACGCAUCAUCGUGCUCUGAUGACAUACGAUGGCUGGGCAUCAGAGACAGGUGCCUAGGGCCCUAGGCUACGUCACUUGUGCAACACAAAUGCCAGACGCCUGUCCAAUACAUACUGCAGGGUCGAAUGCGGGUUUCCCGCUAGCUCAUGCGUCGCUUGCACGCACGGCGCAACAGUGAUUGAUACGGGAAGGCAGCUGUGUAACCCGCGUCACUGCCGCACGGUUGGAAGACAUACAGUGCCCGUUUGUGAACGCCUAAACGUCCGUGCGGGUUGGAGAGUGGGGGUGAUGAGGAAGUGCUCAGAGCGGGGGCUAGGGCACGGUGCGCCGCGCCUCCGACGCGCGUGAAGGGUAGACGGAGCUGCCAUGCCAGGGCCUGCCAGGGCCAAGUUGGGAGGUUAUGUGAGGGACAUCGAUGUGCGUCGCGGGUUUGCUGCUCCUUCACCUCCACACUUCAAGCAAGACGUCGAGUCUGAGGUCCGGCCGGGCGAACUGGAGCAGAGUCAGGCGACGCGAAUGCAGCGGUUACCGUUACAUGGCAACAGCCAGCAACAGCCGCUGUACUCCUAUCCCAUUCCGACGCGCCCAAAACCACCUCGUUAUCGACGUGCUUUAAGAAACGCAGUUGUUGAUGAUUAGGUUGGGCUCGAUACUCUAAGAAGAGCAAAAGGAGGGUAGUUGUGAAGCUUACACACGGCGACGCAGCACUCCGCCGGUGAACGACUUGAUGCUGCCGUCAGCGUCCAAUCUGGGCUCCGACUGGAUUGCAACCGUGGGCGUUUGCCCUUCCGCCGACAUGGCGGCGGCGCAUCAGCAGCAGGCCCUGGCGGGCUGGGCUGUGCGACAGUGGCUGCCGGAGAUGUUGCGACAGCAGGUGCAGAGGGACGCGCCCAGCGUCGAAGCUGCGUACACGUCAACCGUUGUGAUUUUUGUGGCUUGCAGGGGCCUGUGGUCACCUGCAGCUGGUGAGCAGCUGCGAGGCCGCAGCGUCAGCCGACCCGCCUGCUAGCUAGCAGGGCGGCGAGCACAACGCCAACAGCAGCGGAUCACACAAUAUUUUGGGGCUGGUGGGUGCUGCUGGGGCUCUCGCUUAUAUUGUCCAGCGAGCUGCCGGGUGGGCCGGAGGCUUGCGAUGCCGCAGCCAGCGUGGGGGGCUGCAAAGGCGGCGCUUCAUUCGGCCGGGGGGAGCAGUCGUACCGCGUCAGCGGCGCCGGGGCUGCCGCUGCCGGCAGGAGGGGCGGCGGCUGGGGUCAACGGCACCACCAGGCGGCAGCACCAGCAGCAGCGCAUGCUGCAGCACAUGCGUGACAUGUCCGUGCACAUGGAUGCAGGCUGGGCCGCGACUUUGGACGACGGUGCGUGUGGAUCUUUUCCACUCCGUGCGGGUGCAGACAGAAGCGGCAGAGCCCCGUCUCAGUGGCGGCGGCUGGACGCGCUGCGACCACGGCUGCCGCGACUGCUGCUGGUGUGGAGCUGCCGCCGCCGCCAGCCGUCUUCGUGAUGCCGACACGGCUGCUGAUGCAGCUGGGCCCCGCGAGCAACCCGCACGUGCUGCUGUACGGCGGCGUGCCGUUGGCGCCGGGCGCGGAGCAGGUGGAGGCGCUGCUUGCCGAGGCAGGCCUGGUGCUGUGUGGCAACCCCGCAUGCAGCAGCAUGGAGGAUUGGAGGGCGACAGCGAGGCAGCGUGCAUGCAUGGCGGUGGGAGGUGCGGCGGCGGCGGGGCAGCAGCAGGGCGGCUGGGGCGCCGCCCGCGGGGGCGGAUGCGGACGCAUCAAGACGUGCUCCCGCUGUGGCGUGGUGCGGUACUGCGGCGGCGCGUGCCAGCUGCAGCACUGGACGGAGGGCGGGCCGGGGCUGCGGGGGGCAGCGCCGGGGCGGGCAACCGUGGGUCGCGCCCAGCCGCCCAUAUUGAACUCGCCCCAGAUGUGCGCGCCCCACAUACAUAGUUGCGAUUAUACUGGCGUGCGGUGCAAGCAAUGCAAGAAGUCCACCUCGUUCAGCAUUAAGAAUUGGGGCCUGCAGGAGGUGCAGGAGAUGACUGGCCUGUGCGGCAGUGACUGAGCGCAGACCGGCUCGCCUGGAUUACACUGGAGGCGCGGGCGUUUGCGGGCUGGAGGGCGUGGCUGAUUGAGUGUGGGGGUAAGUGAUCAGACGCACAGACACAUGGUUGUGAGGUGUGCAUGUUUGUACUGCCGAGUGGGGCGUUCGUGUGAGGGUGCAUGCUGCCGUGCUGCAUGCGAGCUGUUAUGCUAAUGGAUACAGCAGGUAUGGUGAAGCAGGAUCCGCAUGGUGAAGUCGUGACAGCGCAUGAAGGUUGCUACCGGGUGUGUGGUUGGCGCAGAGACUUGCGCAUUACUGUGACGGGGCGGCGCCCUGCCAUUGCUGCUGCAAGUGUUCGUUGGGGCCGCGCCCAGGCCUCCGGUCAGUGUGUUUGCGACAAUGCGUAAUUGCUUAUGUACCGCGAGUUGGUGGCUUGUGGUAUGAUGGAGGCGCGUGGUGGGUGGUGGAUACGCUGCGCGUGCUUUGGCUGUGGGAGUGCGAGGCAACGGUGGCAAAGUUCCAUUACUGUGUGGCGUACGGGUAUCCCCAGACCCGCACAUUAGGUAGAGUUUAUCAGUCAAAGGCGCAAUGGCGACGCGCGAGUGCAAUUUUGGCUAUGACGAGUGGUGUGGAAACGAAUGCGUACGUAGGCCAGAGCGGAUGGCGGAGUGGGCUUGCAGGCGGCACGAGAGUAGGCAGUCAGUAGCGCAAGUUGCGAAUUCACAUGUUACCUCGUAACCGACGGUAAACGCUGUGGACGGUCGCGCCCAUGGCUGGCUGACGGAAAGCGGCUGCUGUAUUGGGAUGGCUGGGCUGGACGACGGCGGCCAGGCGUUGCUUGGGACUACCAGAAAGGAUGCGCCCGAAACCAACCUGGAGAACACCAGCGCCACCGGUGCCCAACACGACAUGUAUGGGAGGGAGGGAGGGACAGGAGGCGUGAUGCACUGCCGCGUAAAAGCUAUGGCGCUAGGCGCGAGGCAAGCAAUGGCUAUGGGAUUAGGGCGAUAGAACACGCAGGCGUUCCUGUACCUGUCUUCAACAAGCCGAGCACGGCUUACGCGAGGCCCCGUGGUAUGCCAGGCCAUGGCGCCGACGCAGCCCAGCUUUGCGCAAAUCCUAUGUCACGGGUGCUUCCAUCUGGCUGGCCUGGGUUCACGGUGCUGUGACUGCCAUUGACGACCCCGGCAGCUCAGCGUCGUCUGCGGGAGCACGCAGAGGGCUACCUGCAGCAGGCAGCGGGGCGGCCGCGCCCCCUACACUGGAUCCCAGUGGGGCCACUAGUGGCGCCGCACGGCCCUUGCUCCAACCACGCUGCAGCCACGCGUCCUCACCUCCGGUUGUGAUGUUGGCAUGUUCGCACUGCUCGCCACUUCCGUACACUUCGGGCUCCCUUUCCUGCGUGCCUUGCCGCGCCCUGUUCUUGCCCUUGCUUGUCACGCUGUCGCCCGGCCAUUGCUUGCUGCACGCUGCUCGCAAUACUGGGGUUGUCUAUCAUCGGUGCUCAUCCGUGGACGUCGGUCGCCUGAUUGCAGGUGCGCUACCACUCAGCAUCAUGGCGACACCGUGAUUGGAGGGCGUGUCAGACUUCACCGUAGUGCUAGGCACGUACCGUACCCGCGCACGAUCACCGCGCAUGUAAAUAAAGUCUUUGGCUGAAAAGUCGAAUUACCGCGCACUUAUGAGGGGGUGCGCGGUCCUGGGAACAAAGUCUGUUGGGGGUGCGCGGUCCAAUGGAAAAACCCGGAUAGGGCGAGCGGAAAGCACGUGCUUACGCCAGCCUUCUAGUUUUGUGCGCAAACAUCCAAAUUAGCGUACAUCCUUCGCUAUUGUUUUAUUUACUACAAAACACUGGGGGUUCAGGGCUGUGGCGAAGUGGCGUUGCACUGUGCCGGCUGAGACUGGCGGUGGCGCGCUGAGUGGCGCGGGGGUGAGGAGAUGCGCGGGGCUGUGGGCCGGUUCCGAAGCCAGCACCGUAGUACCGUACAGUACUGCGCAGUUUACUGGCUGCGCGGUCUUGCAGGAAUGCUAAGUAGGGGGGUGCGCGCUCCCAAAAGAAUACCGGAACAGGGGUGUGCGGUGCAAAAAAUAAAAGUUGACCCGGGAGGGUGCGCGGUGAUCACGUAAACGUACGGUACGCAGCCAUGGACGCAUGGACCCAUGCAGCGGCGCCACUACUCACCAUGCCUGACCGGCGCCAGUGCAUACUUCCAGUACCAUCUCACCCAUUUUCUGCAGCCAGUCAGCCUUCGUGUCAGCCCGGCCGCAGCUAGGCAGCCACCCUGGUUUGUUUUCCGCGGCCGUCCUCCACUUGACAACCGCCUUGCCGCAUCCUUCUUUCUGCCGUUCUCUUUCCUCCUGUUCUCGCAUGUCCUCCUGGCUCACCGCGGAUGCCUGGCUGCGUUCCAGGUGGGUUUAUUUUGUGGGUUUCGCGUUGUCGCGAAUGGCAGCCUAGUCGCGCGCGAGCUGGUACACGUCAGCCCUGCCCGGACCGGCAGUCUGCUUCACGCCAGUGUAACCAUUUGGUGCGCCUGCUGUGGAGCCGCGUGGGGCUGUCUCAUCUCCAAAGGUAACAAGCAACCGCACUUGCUGCUAACUCUAACUUCUUUCUUGCUGCUUGCUAGCCUGGAGCACUCGAUGGCGUCUAGCAUUUGCAUUCACACUAGCUUUCAUUUCUCUGAACGUAGGGUAGUGUGGUGCGCAACAGGUAGAAGGAUGCGGAUGUUACAGAGGGGACAGUCCCAGCUCCCGAAGACGCCGAGCCAUCACAUGCUAUCAGGUAGAAGGGGUAGAGGCGGGCACCACUGACCCGCUGGAGAAGGCGUGCUGAGAGAGCUGUAGUCUGAGAGAGCGUUUCGCAACUAAUUACAGCCAAUGUGCGAUGCAGUGCGGCAAACCAAAAUUUUGGGAUCAGGCUUAUUUGUAUCUGCACAGGGCCACUUUGUUUGUCUCAGGAAGAGGAGGUGGAGUGAUGGCACCUACAGUGCCAUCACUCCACCAGUGCACCUACCUGUAGUGACAUGUUCGGUUAUGGAAAAUGCUUGAAAAAACGCAACACGCACAAGCGAACAUGACGUUGUAGAGCCGAGGCCAGUGAGCUAGCACAAGCAAAAAGAAAAGCGUGAGCAUGAGCAGCGACCGCAACUGCUACGUUACCUUUGACGAGAUAACCGCGCGCCAAGCUGCGCCACUCCGGCGUCCUAAUGCUUGUGACUCUCAGCUGCAGGGCUCCUAUCUUAAUGUCUCCAGACAUUAAACGGCCAUUUUGGCCAUUUUCCAGACAAACGGAGGGGGGGGUUCACGCACGCUUUUGAACAAAACAAGCGGUGUCUGAGGAGAGGCAAACUCUACCAUAGUGACAUAUAUAUUUUGUAGAAAGUGAGGGAAUGUCAUGGUCCUUUAGGAGAUUUUCGGCGAUAUGACGAGGAUGAAGGAUACCCCGAUCAAGUCUUCCUUUUUGCAGAUGCGCAGAGCCGGUGACGAGGAUUUGCCGGGGAUGCCACAUUUUAAGGUAUAGCAUGUACGCCGCGCAGGCAAGCGAAGGCUCAGAGUUGCUUGGGGAAACGCGCUGCGACAUGCCUGUGCAUAUGAUCGCAUUUGGACUUGUUCAUUAGUGUUGCACUGCGUGAAACAGAUACGAAAGCCGCCGUUUACAGUUGCGAAAAAGCGAAAUUGCAACAUGUCAAGAUGUCUAGACAUUUUACAUGGCUUCCACAAAGGCACUUUGUCUAGACAAAAAAAUCGUGGAUUUGGGGGCCUGUUUGUCUACCCCCUUGACAAAAAUUUCCGCUCCAGAGGCCAGGAAUGUCUGGGUCAAGACAUUCCCCCGCAAACAAGAUACGACCCCUGCUCAGCUGGUGUAUACGGCUGUCAGAGGCUGGGCUGGCGCAGACUGGCCGCAGACUACCAAGCGAAGGCUGCGAUGCGUUGUGAUAACGCAAACCCCAAGAGACCCACCUGGAACACAGCCAGGCAUCCGCGGUGAGCCAGGAGUAGUACGUACAUGCGAGGACAAGAGGAAAGAGAACGGCAGAAAGGAGGGUGCGGCAUGGCGAGUGUCAAAACGUUGAGGCCGGCGCACGUUCGGUAUGGCGGGAGGAGCGUCCUACUGGAGCAAGCCCACUAAAGCUAGAGGAGGCGGACGGCGUUGCAGGCGGCACGCCCCUUGGGUCCAGAGCAGGGUGUUCAUUCUCCACGCCACUAGCUCGUGAACUGCGUCAACGUCCUGCGUAACCAAUGCAAUCUGUAUGUGAAAACAUUUCAUUUCCAAAAACUUUGGCCCGUUUGGUUCUUAAUGAGAUUUGAACCCAUGCAGAAUUCCUAUGUAUCUCCCAGACUCCGACAUCUAGGCAUUCCUCACUGAUGAGAUGAUCAAAUAGCGGCCGCUGCAUAUAUACAUACUUAAUAUUCUGGCUUCAAUGCACAAUGUGAAUCCCGCCUUACCAAGGAUUUGAGGCCGCGGUUGCACCAUUCUCGCUGCGCCCGAAUUUUCCCGCAAUAGGUAUUAGGUAAUAUGUAAUAGCAAAUACUAACACGUAGCUGUCACUCAGCCCAAGAAUGCCAAUGCGACCACCACUACCAGGCCCACGUGUGGGGGGAUGGCGGGGAAAAGGGGGGAAAGCAGGAGCAUCAUGGCGACACCGUAAUUGGAGGGCAUGUCAGACUCCACCGUAGUGCUAGGCACGUAGGGUAGGGUGGUGCGAAACAGGUAGAAGGGGUAGAGGCGGGCACCACUGAGCCACUGGAGAAGGCGUGCUGAGAGAGCUGUAGUCUGAGAGCGUUUUCAGUACGGCCAAUCAAAAUUUUGAUACCAGGCUUAUUUGUAUCUGCACAGGGCCACUUUGUUUGUGCACUCCGCAAUGAGGAAUGUAUAUUACAUUUAUUUUACAUUUUAUUUAAAAAAAAUCCAAAAUAUUUGCCCAUUGUGAGAUUUGAACCAUUGCGGGUUCACCAAAUUUGUUGAUUUCCCGGGGGCCAAGAAUCUACGCAUUCCUCCAUGAUGUGGGUGUCAUAAUAGGGCCUCUACGUGUAUAUAUACCUAAGAUUCUGGAUUCAGUGCAUUGCCGCAACGCAUUGCCUAAACACCCUUGAUGCUGAAUGGCCAAACCUGAUGCGGACGUGUGUGAGGGACAGGGUUUAGGCAAGUUGGCGAGGUCCCGUAGGGUGCAGCUGGUGCCCAUCUCCCAAGCAGGCGGCAGACAGUUUGCAGUAGCAGAGCAGAAGUGCAUGGCUGGUCGAACGCCGGAGUUACUGUACCGACAAGUUGCUGGCUGGCUGGAAGUUUGCUGUUGUGUGUGGUUUGCUGAUGCGCAUUCCGCAUGUGGUCCACAGCUCAUGUUUGAACCAAUGCUGCCAACUGGAACUUGUCGUGUAAUUGCUGGUGUGUGGCCGGGGCCCCUAUCUGAUAUUUGUGACAUAUAAUUGGCAUAUGAGCAGGCCCUGCCACUAGCUGUGCGUGCGCUGGCCCAGGCAUGUCCACGUGCGUGCGCAUGUCCCACUCCGCUUUCCGCUCUGGUCUACGUACGCAUUAGUUCCGCAACACUCGUCAAUGUCCCGGCCGUCACUGCAAGGGGCGUCAAAGGACUUGUAGUGUGAGGUAGUCAUGCGCUGUAGUCGUGUAUGCGUCAGGGAUCCAGCGCAGUGGCGGCAAGCCAGGGUGGUUGGGUGGAACCCCACGCGCAGGUGGAAUGCAGGGGGUGAAUCAGGGUGGUGAAUCCCUCUUGCACCCCUGUCAAAAACCAUGGGUGCUCAACACAACCCCAGCCCUUUGCUGAAACUAUUUACCCACUGCUUAUGCACAAACACCUACCGCUACGCAGUGCCCCCUGUCGGGUGAUAUCGUGUGUGCGGCACGGCGCAACUACCUAGGCCCCCGGGGCGUGACAGGGCGUGCCGCUAGAAGCCUGUGCCCGUGUGCCGGUGUUACUGCUGAUGGUUUGUCAUCCCCUGCAUGGCGGGCUGCAUGGGCCUUGCCGAGGGGUUUAUAGCACUCAACCGCGACCUGGCUCGCCGGUUGAGUUGCCACCAGCGCAAGCUAGCAGAAUGACUAUCACUCUGUGACAACUCAUACCCAACCCACGAGCCUUGCAUGCCUCUGUUCCUUACUCCGCCGCCUUAGUCUGCGUCGGUCUGCCUAGGCCCCGCAGCAGCAGCCAGCCAGCUCUACGCUGAACAGCAAGUGUUAUAACACGAACCUGGUCGUCCCCGUCAGCGGCUAGGAUUGAUCAGGUUGAUGGGUUGACCCCCUGGACCGGAUCACGGCAAGCGGCUGGGGACAUCCUACGUGUAGCAGGACGCUCGAGUUCAGAGAACCUGAAUGCUCGAUACCAAUGUAGCAGCAGGAACGCCGUAAAAGGACUUGAUGAUGAGCUGGGGCUACCCUUAGAGUAGGGACUUACGCGCCGUCAGGCCUUCCUCCCACAACUACCCAAUGCCCUGCGAUUUCAUCCCUUGGUGCGCGGAAGCAGAGGAGAGGACGGAGCGGGGAGCGCCGACUCGGAAGCGGGUUUGCGGUAGAAGGCGCUAAACAUGAACUAAGGAGAGAAAGACCGGCUCAGCCCCGUCUCGAUCAGGGAUCAAUACUGAAGUAUCAAUAUUGACUGGCCGGAACACUGAGCGCAAAGGUUUUGCAGUUGAGAUGGCCUGUACGGCCUUGACGUUCGGUAUUUUCGGCGCAAGGGGGGCCACCGCCGGAAGCAAUCGAAGCACUGGCAGCCGCGAGCCAGGACAGCGCGGCGGCGGCGCCAGAAGCGGGGCCAAUUCCAUAUGAGCAUGGGCCACUGGCGGCACAUGUCAGGCCUGGAACGACUCCAGCCAAACCGCCCACAGCUUGCGCCAGCCCUGCAGGCGUACGUCGGCGGCAUCCCCACGGCGGCGACCGCGUCGGCGGCCCGGUUUGAAGAGCGCCUGCGCUACCUCUUCGCCAGUGGGGCGGCAGGGCAGGCGGCGGGGCAGGCGGCGGGGCAGGCGGCGAACCGCGACGUCUCCGCCGCCAACGUGAUCCGUGUGCUCCUCCUGCUGAAGCUGAUGGGCUUCGAGCGGCCGACCAAGCUGCAGCGGCCGCCAUGGCCGCCGGCGGAGGCGGGGCCGGGCUGAGAGCCUGAACGGCGCUAGCAGGGCGUGGGGCUGAGGGUGCACGUGUCGAUUGGCGGCGAGUGACGUGACUAGUUUGUUAGCUGCGGGUUAGCACGGACUGUGCACCCCACCCAACCGGCCACGUCCGGAUUUGCGGGGAUGCCAAAGGCCCCCAACAUAGAGGCGUGUGCUUAGUAGGCGCCCGCGUCAAGGUGGCUGGGUUGAUAACGACCCGGGAUCAGCCCUUUUCCUGCCAUAAGGCAGCCACCUCCUUGUUAGCCAUCACAACGCCGCACGGCCGCAGCUCGGCAGCUCAGGGCCCCACAACCGUCCCUGCGCCUUCGCACAGCUGUACGGCUUGCCGCUCACGGCGCCGCCGUCAGCUUGACGCCUGCCGUUUUUUGGGCUGAGCCCCCUGAGCGAAGCGAUCCAGGGGGGGCGAAGCCCCCCAGGAUUGCCCCUGUCCGUGCCUGCCUGCCUGCCUGCCUGCCUGCCUGCGUUGACAAAAAGUGCCAAACUGGUGCAAACCGCGAGCGCCACGUAUUAUAAAUUGCUAUUCCCUAUUGUAGAAAAAUAGGCGGCAGGGAAAACUCGGCUGGAGCGAGAAGCGACCUCGCGAGUCCAUGGACAUCUUGACUUUCGCGAGGUCGCGAGGUCGCAAGGAAAGCAGCCCUGUCACGCGGAUUCCACAAAGGAAGAGUUGCCAACUUCAAACUUUCCCCUUCGCACCCUUGUAGCCGUAGCACAGGCCAAACAAUUCUGAAGUCCGCCCAACCUUGCCCGUGUUAGGGGUGUGGGCCGGCUCCCACACCCCUAACGUUCAUAAUGGUUCAAACUAGCACCCGUAAGGUGUCGCUGCGAAGCGUUUGCAAGGACGGCCUGCCUGCGUUGACAAAAAGUGCCGGCGGCUGCGUCAGCAGGUCAGGCAGGGGCUCUGGUCCUUGGCUCACGCAGCCACUCACUCACCCGGCCACUCGCUCAGCAACGCACUCACUCACCCACCUUCACUCACCCACUCACCUUCACCCACUCACUCACUUACUUCGCAUUUCAGGUCAGGCAGGGGCCCAAACCGGGCGCUGCUGCGUCUGCUGGUGGACAAGUACGCCCACCUGGUGGUCUACGUGGACGAGUACUACACCAGCCAGGUACGCUGUGGUCUUCACAAAGCAAUGCGCACAACGCUCAAUGCACACGUACCUUACCUGGCGCAAACCUAUCUCUGUGUCUGAGCAGGUGUGUGCGAAGUGCGGACGGCGCCUGCUUGGUAACGGGCAGCGCUGCCUGGAAGUUGUGAUUCCGUUUGGUGGCUCGCGUGCCCGCGACGUCCAAGUGUGCCAGCACUGCGGGACUGUGUGGGUAAGUGGGAUGGCAGGUUUGGGGCGGCAGGUCGGUUUGGAGAUGACGACACGGGAUGACACGGGAUGACACAGGGCGGUUUGGAGAUGAUACGGGGUGACACACGGGAUGACACACGCCCUGUUUGCAUGUUGAACUGCAGGGCCGCGACGCCAACUUGGCUACAAACAUGCGGCACGCGCUGAUGGAGAUGCUGCUUGGCAAACCGCGGCCUGCAGCCCUGCGACCUGCUGGCGGCGGUGGCGGUGCAGGGCCUGGCGGCGGCGGUGGCGGUGGCGGUGGCGGUGGCGGUGGCGGCGGUGCAGGGCCUGGAGACGGCGGUGGCGGCGGCGGUGGCACCGCGCCUACCGGCGGCAACAGCAGCGGCCACGGCGUUGGGCCCGGUGGUGGCGGCGGCACGGGCGGCCCUGGGCCCAGCGGCAGUGGCGGCGCGCAUGUUCGGAGCAGAGGGGGCAGGCAAGGCCACGUGGAGGAGGACAGCGCGGCGCCGCCUUCAAAGCGGCGCCGGCGCGCAGGUUGAGACCUGCCGGUGUUGUCUGGUUAGCGACCUGUGCUGACGAGGAUGGCGUAGCGGGCAGUCAGCUGCAGCGGCAAGGGUGUUGAGAGGUUUUCCUUGCUGUCUGGUUGGCCUGCUGCCUGCUGCACUAGUGCUUGAUAGCUGGGCGCGACUGGGCACAUAUGGCGGGCGGUGCCUGUACAAACCGACCCCGGCUAUGUCCGGGAGAUGAGGCUAGUAUCGGAACCUUCGGCCUCAGACGGAGGACGUGGCGUGGCGGCACAGCCCACUUUUCCCUUGCGAGGGAGAGCCACCUUUUCUUGUCCAUUCCGGUACGCACGCCGCGCCUCCCCAUCACGUACGGCCUGUCACACUCCCACGUGCUGCAUCUAGCGUCCCUAGCACACGCAUGCACACAACCCGCCGGUGCUGCGUAUAAUGGAUAGUAGCAAAAACAGCACGGCCGCCCCCUCUACACACACGUACGCCAUGCCUUCCCAACAACAGCACACCCGUCCCCUCUACGCAGACGCACGCCACGCCUUCCCAUCACUACCCGUCACAGUCCCACACGCUGCUCCCAGCGUUCCUAACACACACGCACACACAACCCGCCGGUGCUUCGUCCUAUGCUAAGUAACAAUAGCAGCACGGCCGCCCCCUCUACGCACACGCACGCCGCGCCUGCCCAUCAAGGCCUGUCACAUUCCCACGUGCUGCAUCUAGCGUCCCUCAGUGCUCGUAUCUUGUAGAUGCCGUCAGGCACCCGGCAUAUACACAUGCGUAGAUGACCCUGGCCGCGGCAUCUACACUUAAGCCCCCAAGCCCCCCAAAACGUCUACACUUCCCCCAUUUUUGCGCCAAAACCGGCCAAAACCGUCUACACUGCGUGCGUAGAUGCGUGGCACCCAUCACGGCCAGUCACACUGCAAUGCGUUGCACGUAGUGCCCCUAGCACACACGCGCACACAACCUGACCGUGCUGCGUCCUAUGCAUAGUAACAGUAGUAUCAGCACAACUGCUAUCUACGCACACACACACCACGCCUUCCCAUCACGGCCUGUCACAGUCCCACGCACCGCAUACGCAAAUGGUAACCUGCCGGUCUUGCGUCCGAACGCUGCAGUGACAGUAUGGCUGUGUGCAAAUUGUUUGACAUAGAUGGCCAGGUUGCGAUAUGCGACAUGUGACAUAGCAACAUACGACAUACCCACAUACUACUCGCCCACAUUUGCAUAGCAGGUGUGUGCGAAGUGCGGACGGCGCCUGCUUGGUAACGGGCAGCGCUGCCUGGAAGUUGUGAUUCCGUUUGGUGGCUCGCGUGCCCGCGACGUCCAAGUGUGCCAGCACUGCGGGACUGUGUGGGUAAGUGGGAUGGCAGGUUUGGGGCGGCAGGUCGGUUUGGAGAUGAUGACACGGGAUGACACGGGAUGACACAGGGCGGUUUGGAGAUGAUACGGGGUGACACACGGGAUGACACACGCCCUGUUGAACUGCAGGGCCGCGACGCCAACUCGGCUACAAACAUGCGGCACGCGCUGAUGGAGAUGCUGCUUGGCAAACCGCGGCCUGCAGCCCUGCGACCUGCUGGCGGCGGUGGCGGUGCAGGGCCUGGCGGCGGCGGUGGCGGUGGCGGUGGCGGUGGCGGUGGCGGCGGUGCAGGGCCUGGAGACGGCGGUGGCGGCGGCGGUGGCACCGCGCCUACCGGCGGCAACAGCAGCGGCCACGGCGUUGGGCCCGGUGGUGGCGGCGGCACGGGCGGCCCUGGGCCCAGCGGCAGUGGCGGCGCGCAUGUUCCGAGCAGAGGGGGCGGGCAAGGCCACGUGGAGGAGGACAGCGCGGCGCCGCCUUCAAAGCGGCGCCGGCGCGCAGGUUGAGACCUGCCGGUGUUGUCUGGUUAGCGACCUGUGCUGACGAGGAUGGCGUAGCGGGCAGUCAGCUGCAGCGGCAAGGGUGUUGAGAGGUUUUCCUUGCUGUCUGGUUGGCCUGCUGCCUGCUGCACUAGUGCUUGAUGGCUGGGCGCGACUGGGCACAUAUGGCGGGCGGUGCCUGUACAAACCGACCCCGGCUAUGUCCGGGAGAUGAGGCUAGUAUCGGAACCUUCGGCCUCAGACGGAGGACGUGGCGUGGGCUCAGCCCACUUUUCCCUUGCGAGGGAGAGCCACCUUUUCUUGUUCCAUUCCGGCUGCCGUAAUAACUGCGAUAUUACAAGAAGGGACAGUCCGGCCAAGCAAGGCGAUACCAGGGGGGGUAGAAAGCUCAGAUUCUUACCCCAUGCUCAAAAUUACAGAGCUUUAGGAGAGCAUUAUGCACGUACUUUUAGUUUCUUAAGGGGGUGUCUGGUGAGGAAGUUCUGGGCCGCCAAAGUUGGGGGGUCGGUCCUCGUCCCUGGGGGUCCGUCGGGUUUCGGGAGCCCAUCCCGGCGGAUUUCGGGAAGCGCCCCACAAGCAGAACUAGGGGCCAAACGCAGCAGUACGAGGCUCAUAUGUGCACGUUAUGACGUAAUAAGCACAAACAAAGCGUGGGAGGGCUAAGUUGCGCGUCCGGGCGUGGACAUGUCGGGACAUGUCUCCACAUGCAACACAUGCGCACUGACACAGCUUGGCUCUGAAGCGCUGGUGCGCUCGAGUUCACGUCUAACAAGGCUGCCGGUGCACAUUGUCCAUUCGUCACGCGGCAGAGAGUUGAGCGCGGGAUGGUCUGGGUCGAGGGGAUUUCCAUGGAUAGGAUCCCGCCGGUGACCGAAGUCUCAGAACAGGACCGCUGAUGACACGGAGUGAUAGUGCUCGUCAAGAGGAGUCGAUUGACACCACUUUGGUAUUAAAUGGAGGGGUUUUAACCCCUGAACAACAAGGUUUUGUCCGUCGGGGGAUCGGUCGUCCCCUCAAGGGGGUUCCCGGGGGAUUUCGGGGCAUGGGGUCUGGCACUUUGUUUCCUACCCCCCCCCCUGGCGAUAUUACAAGAAGGGACAGUCCGGCCAAGCAAGGGUGCCCAACACCCAGGUCGUAAUGCAAGCUCUGCCAGUCUGCCGCCACCCUCUGCCCUGCACAGGCGCACCUGCGAAGACUGACUUCCGUGGUGGCAGCAGUGUUACAAUCACCACCACCGCCACCAGCUGCUGCCACACGUGGUGGAGCCUUCACAUCGACAGCGGCGGGCGUCGCCUCCCUUGCGCUGAAUGUGGGCGGGAUGCCCCAUAACCAGUGCUCGUAUCUUGUAGAUGCCCUCAGGCACCCGGCAUCUACACAUGCGUAGAUGACCCUGACCGCGGCAUCUACACUUAAGCCCCCAAGCCCCCCAAAACGUCUACGCUUCCCCCAUUUUUGUGCCAAAACCGGCCAAAACCGUCUACACUGCGUAGAUGCGUGGCACCCAAACCCAAAAAUUUUUCUCCGCCUUCGGCGGAUUUGGGGCAGAUUUCUACAGUGUAGAUAGAAGAUACGAGCACUGGCCAUAACUUCAUUGCAGUAUAGCAGCAUGAGGCCUUGCCGGCCUCCCUGCUGUCCUGUAAUCUUCCUGGAUCUCUCAUGCCACCCACUCAUUCACACUCAUGCACUGGGCAGACGUCCUAUGCUGUACACCCUUGACGCAUUCCUUUUACAAUCCUCAGCACGCCUCAGCGGUGAUUGUCCUGUUCCCACCUCACGUUACCGUACCUUACUUCCGUAGGCUGUGCAGAACUGCCGCGCAGGCAACGGCAGCGGGGCCUGCCUAGGCAGCAGGCUUCUUGGAUGCGUCACGCCAAGCGUAUGCCAAACCUGAGCUUGCCUGCCUUUUGCGCUCUGCUAUCUGCUGUAACGAACCUACAAAUGCAGCCACACGCUAAUACACACACAGGUCCGGCCACUGACGUUACGAUUCCCGCGUGGGCACAGGGGUGUAGUAUCAUGUACGGUAUUCGUGACACCAGGAUACUACAAGUGCAAAACAAAAUGAAAGCUCCUGAGGACAGAGGCCUCUCCAUCAAAAUCCAGGAUGUCAAGCCCUAGCAUCCUGACCAACAUUUCCAUCGCAUACACAGACACACAGCGCAAGAAAUGAUGCCCCCGCAGGCGCUAUCUGGUCACGGGUAGCCAGGUGGUAUUCUGGCAUCUGGGCAUAAGGCCGCAUACAGUCCUACGGCCGCGCAGCCUCUCCCAGCACAUCAUUUAAGACAACCCCAACCCUCCUUCCAUGUGUUUGCACUCAAGGCCGACGAGCAGCCAGGCAAUGCACCCUGCAACUCGUGCCUCCACCUCGAGGACAGUGUACGCUGACACCCCGCGUGCGCAUUCCAAAGCGGGAUGACAUGCCCGCGCCUCAGGAGGCUGCGCAGCGGCCACCAAGUAACCAACAGAGUCCGCAAAGGCGACACCUUUACCCGGCACUUCACCAGCCUACACGGGUCCGCUACAUACACAGGGACCCACUUGACACACCACGCGAAACCAUGGCCGCACGCCCUGUGACGCGCCGAAAUGACCGCACGCGCGGGUACACACAGGAAACAAACGACGAGGUGCGCGGCGACUGCUCUACGUCCGGGCUGCGGCGGCGGCGGCUGCUGCGGGCGGCGGCGGCAGGGUGACCUCGACGUCGGCGCUGAGGCCGAACCAGCCGCCGUCGUAGGUGGCUGUGUGUGCGGACGUGAGCGCCACCUGGCUGCUGUCGGGCGUGCGCACCAGCAGCUCAAACACCUGGCGCAGGGAGGCCAGCGGGCCGUAGUUCUGGGGGGGGGGGGAGAGGGAGGGGACAGAUGAGGAAGGAAGGGCGUGGAGGGGGUCAUACGAAGGGGGUUACACCAACCCAGGAAUGCAGUGCGAGGCUGCCGCCAGGUGUAGUCGGAGUAGAGGAGGCCGAGCGGGGGAGGGGCCAGUCAGUCCCACACAUAAAAUACCGUACAGCCGCCAGGAAAGGAAAGGCGUCCCCCCUCCCCCGCCCGCACAUGCGCGAUGACAUCCAGGCCCGGCCCCCACCGCGACACCACCCGCUCGGAUCCAUCCCACCCUCUCCGCCCUCUUUACCCACCCCACCCUCCACGCGCCCCCAGCUCCACGCCAGCUUCCAGACGUCACGCACCUCCCCCCUACCACCCAAUGCCCCCCACACACACCUGUAUGAGCCACGUGACCGUGUUGUCCCACUGCUCGGCCGGCACCGACAGCCGACUGGCCUCCACUGCGUGAUGCACCAACUUCUCACCUGCGCCUGGCCCCGUGCUUUCGGGGGUGUGGACCCUCGUCGUUACGUUUCGGAGUUCCAGCGGGCCGGGCCCUGGCCGACUAAGCCCAUGGCCUGGCCGCUACUGCGCAGCCUCCUGGUAGCCCGCGCCCCAGGAGGCUGCGCCCCAGGAGGCUGCGCAGUAGGGGCCAGGCCAUGGGCCAAACGGCCAGGAUGACAGUCAUGAUUGCGGGCCCGGUUGCUGAAACAGUCCGGCCUGGCCUCCGGAACGUAACGAAGAUGGUCCCAACCGCCGAAAGCACGGGGCCCACGUAGUCCGCGUAGUCGGCGUAUUCCGUCAGGUGAGGGAUAGUCCUUGCUAAGCCUGCUUUUCAUGAGCAGAAGGCUCUGACGCCAAGCUGCGCGAAAUGCGUUUGAAGAGGGCGCGCCCCAGCCACACCAGGUCCGUGACGAGGUCUGCGCGCACGCAGACUGCUCUUACCAUGCCCUAUUAUCCCCAAUUUGCGCAAGGAUUCGGGCACUCACUUGGCUCCACCCUCAGCUCCUCGAUUCGAGCCUCGAGGGCCUCGAGGGCCGCGGCGUUGGCCGUGGCAUGGGCCGCGAUCUGCUCUUCGAGCCGGUCAAUCCGCUGCUGCAAGUCCACCUGGUCAAUCUGCUGAUGCAUACUGUCCAACUGAGGUUGCGGCGGCUGGGCCAUGAUACCGGCGAGCUGAUGCAAGUUGGCGUUGGUAAGUAAAGGCUAUAGGUGAGCGAUGCGAUGCGAACUUGUAGGUGCGAUACCCCUGCUCUGGCAUCGGUAGUGCGCGGCGCGGGGGCUGGAAUGAAUGAAUACGCGCCCCGCACCUGCCCUGGACCGGUGGACCGUCAAUCUGCGUGGCCUCUGGGCCACAUUCGUCGCCACAUUCCUGCCGCACCAAUUUCAUCCGUCUUCAUCCAAACCUACGUACGUACUUCAGGGCGGCGUAUCUGUGUUUGUGUUGUUGUUGGUUACAAGGUGGUAUCUAGCCCCGCCGUUGCAGACGCGCUGCCCUACCUAGGGCCUGCAGCACUGCAUUCUCACCGGCACACCGCCAGCGCUGCCCCUACUUUGGGGCUGAGCCCCCUGGGCGAAGCGAUCCAAGGGGAGCCGAAGCGCCUUAGGUUUGCCCCUGUCCAUGCGCGGCUGCCUGCCAGCCUGCCUGCGUGUGUGCGUGUCUGCCCGAUGCGUGCGUCCCCCACCUCGAGCUGCCACACUCCCCCACCCAAAGGCACACGGCACUGGCAGACACAGUAAUCCUUCCUUCAGUUCUACGAGCAAGGACGGCUCCACCUCACAACAGCUCCAGCCAGGUGCCCUCCGCGUUGCCCACGCCACGGUACCGGUCGAACCCCUGCACGGUACUGUGGCAAGGGAAGGCACGCGUGGAUGGUGUUGAGAUCUAGGACAAGCAAGAGCAGAGGGGAUGAAAGACGAGUUCCCGUUGUGAUGACUGAAAUUCCGAAAUCCCACAAGGCUAGGCAGGGCACGCGUGGAUGGCGUGUGGAAUGUGCACACCGCGACCAUGCAUCCAUGCCUAAACUGAUUGGGGCCCAAGACCCGUUCUGCAGCGGGCCGAUGCGUGUGUGUGCCUGCGUUUGAUCGUGCGCCUGCAGUGGGUUUUCGUGUCGGCAACGGUUUGGGGUGUGGGUGUUGGUCCUGUGUCUCGUGUCUUUGGAUCCCCUGUCUUUGGUCUGCCCUUGCUUUGCCCCGGAAGGAUGCCCUUGGGUUCCGUGCUUGGUGCGGUUGUCGCUGGCGUUCUGCCUGCUCGUGUUGCAGGGUGUGUGCAAGUGCGGUGCUGUGCCUUUCCCAUUCCUUCUCCUUGCAGCCACCAAAGAAAGCACGCCCCAGCGCUGGUGGCCCGAGUCCCAACGCCUGUGCCUCGCUCCCCAAGUGUGAAGCAAUGUGUUCGUGGUGGGGGUUCUAAAUACCCAAACCAAACCAACACCCACGAAAGCGAGGCAGAGGCGUUAGUUGCAAGCGAUAAUACUUAUUGGAUGUGGCCGAGGCGUCAAUGACGAGUGGAGCAGCAGGGCGAGCGGCGCCGGCGAUAACUGGGGGGAUGAGGCGAAGGGCCGAAGGGGUCUCCGGGGAGAGGCCGACGCCAGGACCUCGGUUUAGGGUUAAAGUUUGGGGAUGCCGCAUAAGCGUAGAGUCCGGCGCAAAGCAUUUGCGCGAAGGCAAUCGCGAAUAGUCAAGUCCAGUGGGGAACUCCAGUGACCUCCACAGUUCCAGUCAGGUGAUCCCCGUGUUCCGGGUUCCUACGUUUCCCCGUUGUUUAACCCCCGUCACCCGGCACCCUAACCCGCGGUGCUGGCUUGCCAGGAGGGCCUCGACAGUCCUAUGCAUGGACGGAGCCGAACAGUGCGAGGCUGUGGCUUGCGGCGGCGGCGGGCGCUGCGUGUGUGAAAGCAGAUAUUCGCAGCUUGGGUAGCUUAGCGCAGGCCCUGAAUACCGUAGCGGUUCUGGUGAAGACACGACGACAGGUGGAACCGUGCAAGAGACCUGACAUCCAAUUUACAACCGUGCGACUUUUGCGGUGUCGCCACAGCAGACUGCAUCCGCCCCCACCCCUACCACUGCGCCCAUCACCGCCACGGCGCCACCGGCUCAUAUCCACACAGCGGCCUACACCACCACACGGCCAUCGCGUGACAGCCUCAACCAAGUAACCAACAGAGUCCGCAUAGGCGACACCUUUACCCGGCUUUUCACCAGCCUACACGGGUCCGCUACAUACACGGGGACCCACUUGAAACACCCGACGCCGAACAACGGCCGCACACCCUGCGAUGCGCCCAAAUGACCACACGCGCGGGCGCACACAGGAGACACACCACGAGACUCUGAGGGUGGCGACUGCUCUACGUCCGGGCUGCGGCGGCGACGGCGGCUGCGGGUGGCGGCGGCAGGGUGACCUCGACGUCGGCGCUGAGGCCGAACCAGCCGCCGUCGUAGGUGGCUGUGUGUGCGGACGUGAGCGCCACCUGGCUGCUGUCGGGCGUGCGCACCAGCAGCUCAAACACCUGGCGCAGGGAGGCCAGCGGGCCGUAGUUCUGGGGAGGGGGGAGAGGGAGGGGACAGAUGAGGAAGGAAGGGCGGGGGGGGGGGUUACAUUCAUGAUUAAUUAAGGAAGUCGUAGGGGGGGGUCAUACGAAGGGGGUCACACCUCUCUACCCACCCCACCCUCCACGCGCCCCCACCUCCACGCCAGCUUCCAGACCUCACGCCCCUCCCCCCUACCACCCAAUGCCCCCCCCCCACCUGUAUGAGCCACGUGACCGUGUUGUCCCACUGCUCGGCCGGCACCGACAGCUGGCUGGCCUCCACCACGUGAUGCACCGCCACGUCACCAAUGACGAAGGCGUCCCAGUCGGGCUGGGCGGACACGGUGAGGUUGGCGACCAGGCGCACCACCUGUCGGGCCAGUGGGGAGAGGGAGGGGAGGAGGGAAAGGGGGGGGGCGGUAGAGUGGGGAGAGGGAGGGGAGGAGGGAAAGGGGGGGGGGGCGGUAGAGUGGGGAGAGGGAGGGGAGGAGGGAAAGGGGGGGGCGGUAGAGUGGGGAGAGGGAGGGGAGGAGGGAAGAGGAGGCGGUAGAGUGGGGAGAGGGAGGGGAGGAGGGAAGGGGGGGAUACCAGCCCAAACUAAGCCGAACCCAAUGCGAAAAAGCGAGGAGGAGAGGGGGGGCUGUUUCCACUAUCCUACGAGAACGCAAACACAAGACCGCAACCCGUGGGAUGUAAACGGCGAGCGGCCAAGGUACGAACUAUGGACCGUGGGCGUGGCCCUCCGUGUCACACCCCUCGCAGCCCACCGCCCACAUCCACCCACAUCCGCACCCCACACGCGCACACCCCCCACCCACCCCUCCCCACCCUGGGUUUGGUUUAGUUUGGGCUGGUAUUUACAACCCACCCCACCCCACCCCCCGUACGCGCACGCGCACCUCCGGGUUGCCCAGGCUGUCGUUGGCCACCACCAGCCCCAUGCGGUAGGCCGCCGACACCGUGGCGCCGGCGGCGGCGGACAGGGACACGUGCGGCGAGUCCAGCGCCUGUGGCCGUGUACGUGUGUGUGUGUGUGUGUGGGGGGGGCGUGUGUGUAUGUGUGUGUGUGUGCGUGUGUGUGCUAAAGAGCAUAAGGAAAACAAGCGCAUGUGUGUUGCGGCGAGCAAACUGGGUGCACGGAGAAGUACUGCUGCUGCUGCUGCUCUCCAAGCCCCUCUGUGGGCUGGUUCUGGGUCUUGGUUUCGUUGGGAAUGGAGUAAACCGCCACCCCCAACCCCAAACCACCACCCUCCUGCUGCCCACCACCCUCCCGCUGCCCACCGCCCUCCCGCUGCCCCCACCUCCACAUUUAUGACCAUGCCCAUGUGCGGGUACAGCGUGGGCAGCUGCGGCACCAGCAGCGCCAACACGUCCUGGGGGGAGAGGGGGGGCAGGGUGGGGCAGCAGGGGGGGGCAGCAGGGGUGAGGGGUGAGGGUUAACUUUGAACCAAUCCCGUAAGGAAACAGUCGCGCUGCAAGGAGAAACUGCAGCCGCAUAUGCGAGCUGUGGUACAUCACCGGGGUGAGGGUGAGGAGGGCGGGCGAGGAGGGGGCAGUCGGAACAGGGCAAGCGCAGCAGUGAGAACAGGGAAAGAGAAGUUGGAGCAGGGAACAAGGAGCAUUGGUAGGGAUAGGGCGGGUUGUCAAUUGUAGUGUGGGGAGGGGGGGCAGGAUGGCAAGAAAUAGCACAGUGGGGUGAGGACAGGCAGACGUGUGUCGCGCAUGACAGGGCGGGCGGCCCCACCCAGGGCUGGCGCGUGGCGAACACUGCUCCUGGCCCGCACUGUUCCCGCCACGCCACACCCUCCCGCCACGCCACACCCCUCUCCACCCAUCUAACCACCCACCUAACCACCCGUGCUACCCACCUGUGCUACCCACCCAGCUAGCCACCCGCGCCUCUCCCCC
RNAcentral lists this long non-coding RNA (54054 nucleotides) under Chlamydomonas reinhardtii. Its description in RNAcentral is "long non-coding RNA (CREI_LNC000517)". The record is from RNAcentral. Lineage: Eukaryota; Viridiplantae; Chlorophyta; Chlorophyceae; Chlamydomonadales; Chlamydomonadaceae.